Molecule: long non-coding RNA, 45877 nt
Filed under: Citrus x clementina
Lineage: Eukaryota; Viridiplantae; Streptophyta; Magnoliopsida; Sapindales; Rutaceae
Description: Citrus clementina (C. clementina) long non-coding RNA (CCLE_LNC002878)
Source: RNAcentral
ACUUAAUUGCUGGAGUACUCCCGGCUGAAAUUCUGGCCAGAUGUGAGUUUUUGGAGCCAUUAUCUGAAGCUACUUUGUCAGAUUAUGAGUGGCUGGUUGUUAAUCUGCAAAAACCUGCUCCUGUCUUGAUGAAAAGGGUGCAACAUUACUUGUCAUCAUUAAUCUAAAGCUUUCUAGCAAGAGCUACAUUGAAAAGUUAAUGGCGCUGCAUGCCAGUCAUUAUAAUGCUGUCAGGGCAAUUGGGUCAGGGCAAUUAGGUCUGAGCAUAACUUCAUUAGGAAAAGAGGCUUCAGCUACGUUAAAUAUUGCAGGAUGUACUGAGAUGGCUGAAGUUCUUAAGGUUUUAUGAGAAACGAAAGAUGAGUGUUUGUUUGAACAAAGUUGUUGCCAAUCUUGCAGAGUUUGGAAAGAAAGAUCACGGAGCGAAUGCCACCGAUUUCUUCAUCAUUUUAGCCUCCAUAGUUGAAGUUUCCUCAUUUGAAGCUGUUUAUGCAUACGAUUUUUCCCUGCUCUAGUACAGGAAAUUGAAGAAUUAACCAGAUGUGAUAUGCUGAAAGAGGGAAGUUUUCUUCCUUGAAUGUGGCCUUUGUGAUUUGUCUUGAAGGAAUAGGAUGAUCACUGGCAAGAACCCUAUCAAGGUAGAUUUUAUGGUGUUAACAUAUUAUUAAGCAUUUUGUUACAUUAGCAAUGAUGCUUUCAUAGCAUGAAAGUGUUUAAAUUUAACUGAUUGAUCUUGAUUGAUCAAUUAUGAGUUUUAAUCGAGUAAAAACUAAAUACAAUAAUCGUCAACAAAUAUUGAAAUUGGGUAAAUAUGAUCUUGAUAUUGAAGAAUUUGAAAUCACAACCCACACAGGAAAUCACCCUUCGCGUGGGGAUGGAGAUGUUUACUGCAGCGAUAUUGAAUAUGUCCACUGCUCUUUGGGUUAUGGUGCGACUUGCCCUGAAACAAUGGAAAAGAUUAACAUACCCUCCAAUGAAUGAAAACGGGUGGACUAAUUCUGAUUACCUAAUUGACUCAGGAUCGGCUGGCAAUAAUAACAGUUUAUUAACAAUGCACAGUCCGAGUACCUUUCCAGUAACAGUUUAUUAACAAUGCACAGUCCGAGUACCUUUCCAGGAUCAGAUACGACGUGGUCUAAUGUUGAUUUCAGAAAUAAAAUACAUUCUGAGAGAUGCUGGUCUACUAUUGCAAGCCCCCAGAUUUAAGAAUCUUUUGAUGAUAAUUUAAUUGAUAUGGACAGUUUCCAUAUCACUUUUAAAUCAUCUUAUGUAAUUGUGAUGUUAGGAAGCAUUAGUGACCUAUAUGUGAAUUAUUAUUAGCGACAUUAGUGGUUUUAUCUUGUUAAAAUAUGGAUGACUUCUAGUUAUUAUUUUAUUGUAGACAAUCUUAUUCAAUUAACAUAUAGUUUAAAACCAUUAUGUAAAUUAAUCUAUUAAUUUUCAUGAUAUUUAAUUGAGUUAAAACUAAGUGCAAUCAAUAAAUCUCUUUUGCUUUAAAAAACUGCUACCUUUUGAGUUUAGUGCUUAAUAUUUAUUGAACUCUGAUGCAGGGUAUUUGAAAUCAAACUCGUAAUACAGAUUAUCUAAUUGCGAGUUGCUGUCCAUAGCUGCUAAUUUGUAGUGAUUAUCUAAUUGAUUGAGGUGACAAUAAUUCUUUUAUUUCAAUAGCACAAUGUGGAAUUCAAUAAUUAAAUUCAUGAUAUUUAACUGAGUUAAAACUAAGUGCAUUCAAUAAAUCUCUCUUCCUUUAAAAAACUGUUGCGCUUUAAUUUUAGUGCUUAAUACUUACUAAACUCCGAUACAGGGAAUUUGAAUUCAAACUCGUAACUACAGAUUAUCUAAUUGCAAGUUUCUGUCCAUAGCUGCUGAUUUGUAGUGAUUAUCUAAUUGACAUAGGCCACGACAACUUUUUUUUUUUUUAAUUUUCAAUAGCACAACGUGGAAUUCAAUAAUUAAAUUCUCCUUUUUAAUUUGUUUCAAGUUAAAUUAUUAAUUACUUAAACUCUGUUUUAAGUCUUUAAUUUUAUGUGUUUAUGCAGAAUUGGAUUCUUUAGCGUGUUGGACACGACCAACAAUGAAAUUGACAGUAAACAAACAUUACAACGCGUUGAGUGUCGACUCCGGUAGCUGCCCUACAAGUCUACAACUUUACAAAAAAUAAUUGAGUACACACAUUUGAUUCUCGGGACCCAAAUUUCUAGCCCCGUUGACUCCACCGACAAAAGUUUUGGAAAAUUAAAAAAAAAAUUCAUAGAAUUCCACCAAAUGCAAAACGCGUGGAAUUUAAUUUUCGGCCGUGUGGACCAAAACAUAAUUUAAUAAAAAAAAAGAUAAAAUUUCUAAAAUGUGUGGAAGGUGAUCCAUAUUUUAUUGAAACAACUUAAAUUUAUUAAGGAUUUAAAAUAUUUGGUCAUAAAUUACGCUCAUGUUAAUUUUUCCGCUAUUGACUAUCAUAUUCUAGACACAAUGAAAUUGACAGUAAAGAAACAUUACAACGUGUCGACUCUGGUAGCUGACCUACAAGUCUACAACUUCACAAAUAAUAAUUGAGUAAGCACCUUUGAUUCUCGGGACCCUUCAAUGAAUUGCUAGCCCCGUUGACUCCACCGACAAAAGUUUUGUAAAAUAAAAAUAAUAUAUAGAAUUCCACCAAAUGCAAAACGCGUGGAAUUUAAUUUUCGGCCGUGUGGACCAAAACAUAAUUUAAUGAAAAAAGAAAAAAAAUGAUAAGAUUUCUAAAAUGUGUGGAAUGUGAUUCAUAUUUUACUGAAACGAUUUGUUAAAUUUUUCAAAGAUUUAGAAUAUUUGGUCAUAAAUUAGGCGCAUGUUAAAUUAGGAGCAUGUUAAUUUUUCCACCAUUGACUAUCAUAUUCUAAACUUAAUGAUACAUUUCUUUAUGAAGAGUACUUAGUCUCUCUUCUUCUCUUAUAAAAAUUAUAUUAAUUGAUUUCUUAUUAUAAUAAAUAGUCUUUAAGAACGUAUAGAUUUAUUGUUUUCGUGACCAAAUUAUGCCUGCCUAAGUUUGUGACUAUUAACAAAAUUAAUAUUUAAUGUUUAUGUUAAAAGAUAUAAGAUUUUAUGCAUUCAUUAAUUGUUAUUAGCUAAAGGAUUAAUUAUUUUUUCAACCCAAUCUGUUGAUGCAUCUGCAAGAGUUUUUUCUUUUAUUGACCAUAAUUAUAUUCCGGGUACAAUAAAUUGUCUUUGGUGAUUGGAAAAUAUGACUUCUUACUUCAAGUUUAAUAUGUCUCUCUCCAUAAGCUUACUGGAAAUAUAUCCUCAUCUACUGUCAUUUAUCUAAUAUCAAUUGAAGAUCUCACUUUUUCAAACUAUCACUUCCAAGUCGCAUUGUCACUUGGCCAUUCUUGGACCAUUCAAAACCAAUCAAGUGUUGAAAUAAUCAAAUAUAUGCAAAAUUAGAGUCACGAUUUUUGCUCCCUCAAAUUCUAAUUAUACAACUUCUAUAUAUCUCAUUGUCAGGUCACGAACUUGUUGGCACAUUUUCCAAAUUCCUAUUCCAACUUAAGUGGAAAGUUUCCAAGUUCAUUGCUAGAAAACAACACAAAAACUAGACACACUUAGUUUGUCUAAUAAUUCUCUUUCGGUAAAAUUAAUUAAUUUCAGGGGAAUAUUCUGCCAACCUCUGUAAUUUCAGAGUGAUCAUUAAUUAAUUAAACGAUACAAAUAUCUAAAGUAAUUAGAUGUUUGCUGACAAUACAAGUUCAUGACUUGAAAUUUGAUCUCUAUCGAUUGGUUCACAAAUAGACGUACGUGUGCCUUUGUGGCGAUAAUCGAACAAGUUCCCAAGAUUAUUAUUUUUUCCAAAAACUUUUUUACAACAAAUUCAUCUCGCCAAAAAUUAUAUUUUGCUAACUAACAAUAAUUGAGCACUUGACCGCAUUGACUCCACGUCUCCACCUCUUUCUAAAUUCUAAGUAAAAACAUGGAGAUGUAACCUCCACAAAAUGCCAAACGGGUGGAAUUUAAUUUUUUUGCCUUGUGGAUCAAAAUACAAAUGAAAGAAACAGGAGAAAAAAAAGGCCCAAAGACUUCUAAAAGAUGAAGAAGUCUUUGGGCCUUUUUAUAAUGGUGAAUUUUUUAAAAGAAAAAAAAUAACAACAUUUUUAUGGUUUGUUUUGAUAAUCAUAUUUACAUAUACUCUCUAAUUUUCAAAAUGGACACAUAAAUUUUUUUUUUUUACAAAUAUAUAUUAUUCAUAUUUUUUUAUUAUCAUAUUUUUAUUUAGAGCAAAUUUUUAGGUUGAAAUAUAAUAAAAAGGUAUAAUUGUUCUCUUAUUAAACACACAUACUUUUAUUAGUUUUAUUAGUUUCUAUCCAUUUGUCAUCUCAAUUAUUCUUUAAUGCUAGCUCAAAACACGUUGCUGGUGCAAAUUAUAGCAAAAUGACAAAUAUGGAAAAAAAGGGAAGAAAAUUAAUGCAUGAAAGACUUGGAGAAAACAACAAAAUAAGCCAACUAUGAGUUAGUUGGGUGUAUAAAUUGUUAGAUGUGUUAUAUACAAAUAGCGUAGAGCCCUCUAGUUGGUUCCAAAGACAGAAAGAGCGUGUGUGUUUUUUCACAGUUAGAGAUAUAGUUAGAAUGGGUGGUUCAAAAUCAAAAAUGAUGAUAAUGUUUAUUAUGUUAUUAAUAAUAUUUAAAAGUGGGUGGAGUGAGGGAUGUUUGGAUCACGAGAGAUUUGCUUUUUUGAGACUCAAACAUUUCUUCAAUGAUCCUCUUAAUUCUCUUUACGACUGGGUAGAUGGUGAGGGAGCUACUGAUUGUUGUCAGUGGGAAACGGUUGAGUGCAGCAACACCACAAGUCGAGUGAUAGCGCUAGACCUUUCUUACAGGUAUGGGGGAGAGUACAGUUGGUAUCUGAAUGCUUCUUUGUUUACUCCCUUCCAACAACUUGAGUCACUUGAUUUAACUCGCAACAACAUAGCCGGUUGUGUUGAGAAUGAAGGUGCUUCGUUUAAUUUAAUUAAUUUACUUCUUCUCUCCUAAUUUAAGUGGAAUAUCAAGACUGAGCAACUAUAUGCAUAUUCAUUCAGUUGACAAUUUUGACAUAUUUUUUUAAGUGAUUAAUUAAUUUUGAAAUACACUAGUAUCUAUGAUCUUUUUUUUUUAUUAUUUGGCUUGCAGGUCUAGAGAGGCUAUCAAGAUUGAACAACUUGAAGAUGCUUAAUUUAAGUGGAAACUCAUUCAAUAAUAGCAUUUUAUCAUCUCUAACUCAUCUUUCAUCAUUAAGAUCAUUAAAUUUAUUGUGGAAUAGAUUGGAAGGAAGUAUUGACGUUAAAGGUACAUAAUUAAAACUUCAAGCUCUUUCAUUAACUUGCUAAAAUAAGAUUCAAGGCUUUGAAUUCAAUUUUUUUAUGAUUAAUAUUAAAAAAACAGUUUUAAGCAAUUUAUAAAAACAAGUUUUAAUGUUUCUUGUAAUUUCAUCUUGUACUUUCAUAUGUCUUGAAUUUACAAUUAACAAAAAGACUCUAAUAGCGAACCAAACACCUCCACAACUUCUUAUUAUUUGUGGUGAGGUUUGAAACAUUCAACUCAAUUUGUACUUAUUACAAAAUUUGAUUCUUUGAGAGAUUUAGAGGAACUAGACAGUGGCGGGAUCAAGAUUGACAAAUUUGUGGUCUCAUAAGGUACUACAAUUUACCAUAAAAAAAAUUUGCUACCUUUUACAAUUUAGUUUAGAUUCUUUGCCCUUUGGUUUAUUAUUUUUACAGGUUUUGAAAAAAGUUGAAAUCCUCCUCGGUUUAAGUGGUAUCAAACUCAAUCGUAGCAUCUUAUCUUCUCUGACUGUCUUUUCUUCGUUAAGAGAAUUACAUCUACGUGAUACGGGAUUCAAAGGAACAUUCGAUGUUCGAGGUAAGCCUAAGUCUUGCUUUCUCAUUUUAUAUAUGCCAACUAGAUUUGUGUAUCAUCGACAUAAUUUAAUAUUUAAUUUGAUAAGUUUGAAUGAAUUACAUGCUAAUUUAAACACACUUUUAUUUACUUUGUCAAUUAAUUAAUUAAUUAAUUAAUACUAUUUGGCUUGGUUUGGACGAAAUUCUCAUGAUGUUUUAAUUUCUUUAAAUUAAUUAAUUAAUUAACUCUGUUUUUAAGUCUUAAGUCUGGGCGUGUUUGCAGAAUUUGAUUCCUUUAACGACUUAGAAGUGUUGGAUAUGAGAUACAAUGAAAUCGACAAUCUUGUGGUUCCUCAAGGUAAACAAUUAAAAGGUACAGAUGUGGCCAAAUUUAUAAAUAAAUUGUUAAUUAAUUAAUUUUUUCGUAUUAUUAAUAAAGCUAAAUUCGUUGCUCCUUCCUUCUAAUUCUAAACAGAGUUGCACAAUUUCACCAACUUGGAAUAUUUGACAUUGGAAUCUUCCUCUCUCCAUAUAAGCCUUCUGCAAAGCAUUGCAUCAAUAUUCCCUUCGUUAAAAAAUCUGUCGAUGUCUUUUUGUGAAGUCAAUGGUGUCGUACGCGGUCAAGGUAAAAGAAAAGCGUUGAUUGUGAACUCACUCAAUGGUGUCCUACGUGUUCAACAUUUUUAUUUAUUUUAUUGUUUAAUGUUUCUGCUAGGUUUUCCUCAUUUCAAGAGUUUGGAACAUUUUGACAUGAGGUUCGCGCGCAUUGCGCUCAACACCAGCUUUCUUCAAAUCAUCGGUGAAUCGACGCCAUCUCUUAAGUACUUAUCACUGUCAGAUUUUACUCUCAGCACUAACAGCAGCAGGAUUCUUGAUCGAGGUUAAUCAGAUGCUCCCACCCUCCCUUCUUAAUCUAUAAUAUUAAUUUUCAAUUAAAUAUUUAAUUACACAAAUGAAUUAUAAAAGAACAAUACGCAUUCAUUAAUUUUUAUAUUGUAUUAAUAAUUGAUGAAUUUAAUAAAUUUUCAGGCCUCUGUUCAUUGGUGCAUCUGCAAGAGUUGUACAUUGAUAAUAAUGAUUUAAGAGGUAGCUUGCCUUGGUGCUUGGCAAAUAUGACAUCCCUCCGAAUAUUAGAUGUUUCUUCCAAUCAACUUACUGGAAGCAUCUCCUCAUCUCCCCUCGUUCAUUUGACAUCCAUUGAAGAGCUGAGGCUUUCAGACAAUCACUUUCGGAUCCCAAUUUCACUUGAACCACUUUUCAAUCACUCAAGACUCAAGAUUUUCUAUGCUUACAACAACGAAAUAAAUGCAGAAAUAACUGAGUCACAUUCUUUGACCGCCCCAAACUUCCAAUUACAAUCUCUCUCAUUGACUUCCGGUUAUGGAGAUGGUGUCACAUUCCCCAAAUUCCUUUACCAUCAACAUGACCUGGAGGAUGUUCGUCUCUCAAACAUAAAGAUGAAUGGAGAAUUUCCAAAUUGGUUGUUGGAAAACAACACAAACUUAGAAUAUAUUUUUUUGGUUAAUGAUUCUCUUGCAGGACCUUUCCGGUUGCCAAUUCAUUCACACAAGCGGUUAAGACUGUUGGAUAUAUCCAACAACAACAUCAGAGGCCACAUUCCAGUAGAAAUUGGAGAUGUUUUACCGGGUUUAUUUUCUUUAAACAUUGCCAUGAAUGCUUUAGACGGUUGCAUUCCCUCUUCAUUUGGUAAUAUGAAAUUCCUCCAAUUUCUGGACUUAUCCAACAACCAAUUGACUGGUGAAAUCCCUAAGCACUUGGCCGUGGGUUGCGUCAACUUAGAGUCUCUUGCGUUGUCAAACAACAGCUUAGAAGGUCAUAUGUUCUCCAGAAACUUCAACCUGACAAACUUGAAAUGGUUACAAUUGGAAAGCAAUCACUUCGUAGGAGAGAUCCCACAAAGUUUGUCUAAAUGCUCCUCACUAGAAGGAUUGUAUCUUAACAAUAAUAGUCUUUCGGGUAAGAUUCCACGAUGGUUGGGUAAUCUCACAUGGUUACAAUAUAUUAUAAUGCCCAAUAAUCAUCUUGAAGGUCCUAUUCCAGUGGAGUUUUGUCAGCUUGAAUCGCUUCAGAUUUUGGACAUUUCAGACAACAACAUAUCUGGAAGUUUACCAUCUUGUUUCCAUCCUCUCUCUAUCAAACAAGUUCAUCUUUCAAAAAAUAUGUUACACGGACAGCUAAAAAGAGGUACAUUCUUUAAUUGCUCUUCCCUUGUGACAUUAGAUCUUAGUUAUAACUGCUUGAAUGGCAGCAUUCCGGAUUGGGUUGAUGGGCUUUCUCGGUUAAGCCACCUUAUCUUGGCUCACAAUAAUCUUGAAGGUGAAGUGCCAGUUCAAUUGUGCAAAUUGAACCAACUACAAUUGUUAGAUCUUUCUAAUAAUAAUCUUCAUGGUCUUAUUCCUCCUUGCUUUGAUAACACCACACUUCAUGAAAGUUACAACAAUAGUUCUAGUCCUGAUGAGCAAUUUGAAAUAUUUGUUUUCAUCGAAGGCCCUCAGGGAGGUGUAGAAAAGAAAAUCCAUGAAAUUUUUGAGUUCACAACAAAGAACAUUGCGUACAUUUACCAAGGAAAAGUGCUUAGCCUCCUAUCAGGACUUGAUCUUUCUUGCAACAAGCUAAUCGAUCAUAUUCCUCCUCAAAUUGGAAAUUUGACAAGGAUUCAAGCAUUGAAUCUAUCGCACAACAACUUGACAGGAUCGAUCCCAUCAACAUUUUCAAACUUGAAGCAUGUCGAAAGUUUGGAUCUUUCCUACAACAAAUUGAAUGGGAAAAUCCCUCAUCAGCUUGUGGAGUUAAAUACAUUAGCUGUUUUCAGUGUGGCAUACAAUAACUUAUCAGGCGAAAUUCCAGAACGGAAAGCACAAUUUGCAACCUUCAACGAGCGUAGCUAUGAGGGAAAUACUUUUCUUUGUGGACUGCCAUUGCCCAUUUGCAGAUCACCAGCAACUACGCCGGAGGGUUCAAUUGGCAAUGAACGAGAUGAUAAUUUAAUUGACAUGGACAGUUUCUUUAUCACAUUUACAACAUCGUACGUAAUUGUGAUAUUCGGAAUUAUUAUUGUUUUAUAUGUAAAUUCUUAUUGGCGACGUAGAUGGUUUUACUUUGUUGAAAUGUGGAUAACUUCAUGUUAUUAUUUUAUUGUAGACAAUCUUAUUACAACAAGAUAUUGUCAUUGAAAUUAAUUAGCAAUUUAAUUACGAUUCUUUAAAUUCUAAUCAAGUUUGCUUAGGAAAUAAAUUUAUUUUUAUUUUUUAUUAAAAUUGUAGUAGUAUUUAGCGCUAUAUAGCUUCCAACUUCCAAGCACUUCACAUUUGACUCUACACUUCCAAACCCAUAUCUAUCCACCAUAACUUAUACUUCCCUAUACUGUGCAGCAUACUUAAAUAAGAGAACCAUCUCCAAUGUUAAAACCAGCCACUCUAUAACAUUCAUUUAGAAUAGUUUUAUUAUCAUACACAAGAAAUGAAACACCUAGAUGCACUUGAUCGCCUAUUUUACUUUAAAAAAUAAUGAUUAUGGGCUAUCAUCAUCUUCUUCACUAGCAACAUUAACACCAAAUCCAGCGAUGGACCCAGACAUUUUAUCAAGAAAGGUAUAUAUAUAAUAAAGUUGAAGCUUGACAAAAAAUUCAGGAAGAUUAAUGCCUCGCCACAACAAGGGGCACAACAACAUCAAAGUAGAGAUGAAGCAAUAUUUUCAAAUCUAAAACUCUCAAAUCCACCCACCAAAAUUUCAUAUCUCCUCAACAAUUUUAAGAACUAAAGAUAAUUAGGAUCUAACAUUAGUUUUUUAUAUAUUAGUUUCAUAAUUUACAAAUCAAUGAAGAUGAAGAUUAUGCUAAUGAAUUCAAAUUAUACCAUAGAUUCUCGAGAUGUUACCAAAAAUUUCUAAGCCAAUCCCACAUAUUUCAUAAUUUUAAGACUAGAAAAUUUCAUUAGUUAGAAGUUUCAUUACCUUCAAGUGGAAGAUGAAGAACAUUAUACAAUUGAUUCAGAUUAUAUCAUACAUACUCCAAAUGCAACUAGAAAUUAACAAGUUCAUGCGCACAGAUUUCAUAACAUUAUGAUUGGAAAGUUUCACAAAGAGAAAUUCUAAAUUCAAUCUCUUGCAUCAAGGUAGUUUGAUUGAUUUGAGUUACUUUCUCAUCAAGCUACUAAUAUAACAUUCAAGUCAGGGAGAAAGUUAAUUAAAACUGGGAAGAAACAACAGUAAAAAUUUGUUGCUAAACAUGAUGUGUAUUUUUUUUUAAGGCAAUUUGGAAACACAGUUGUUACUACAGAUAUUCUCCUCAACUUAGAGAUAAAUACAAAUAUUAAAAUGCAUAUGAUCGCACAUAUUACUUGGAGCUUAGUAAGAUUUCAUUAAGAGAAGCAAUCAAACCACUUAUCAAUUGUUGCAAUCGUUCUAUAAGCUAAAAUAGCAAUAUAAUACAAGAAAAAGAACAUAUAGAUACUUGGCAAGAGUUCAUUAAGAAGUCGCAUCACAUUCGGGUGAGUUUGCUUCUGAUAUCUUGCUAGCUGGGGCUUUUUCUUGUCUUUCUACGCAUGCCGAGGGAAACCAACCAGCUUGGCCCUUGCAUUCACCUUCCGACCAUCCAGUAGGAGCCACCUUGAGAAGUUAUAACUAAAAGUCUAAAACAAUGAAUUAAACAAAAGUUGACCGUUCAAAGACCUAAGGGGAAAACUAAUUCUUUUACGUAGGAGGAGUGAAUUAGUUGUGAUCACUGAAAUAACAGCAUAACUAUGGAAGCAUAACAAGAUAUAAAUUCACACGUCUAUAAGGGUAAACUGGGUGGUUUAGAACUGAGCUAGCAACCCUACUAUAUUCUGAUUUGCACAUCAAUGUAAAAGGGAAUAUAUGGUAGGAAGAAAGAAAACCAACCAUCAGUUGUUAACUCAUUGCUUUUCAAUCAAAAUUUUAAGAACAAAAUGCCAUGUGCUUUGAACAUCAAAUAAGUAUAAGCAUUAGUUCUAAAUUCCACAUAUCAUAAGUUAGAAGGACAAGUCAAUAGCAUAGUAGAAAAAUCUAUGUGUUGUUAUUUAGAGGGGAAAGUACCUGGCGAACCACAACAUAAUCAUCAAUUGAAAGACUUAGCUCUCCAUUUGCUUGAGCAUCAAAUGGAUGUAUAACCUGCAAGAUAAUGGGAUAAAUAGAACUUAAUCUUAAAAAAAGCAUAACAAAAGCAGCAACAGUAGCAGCAGCGUUCAUUGUAACCACUAUGAUCAUGGCCAACAAAGAUAUAUUAGAAACAAAAUUCCAUUUUUACUACGACAUUAAUAUGUACUAUAUGAUAUCAUGACGAUUGGGUUACCAAGAGCUAUCAAAGUCCAAUAAAUUCUGUAUAACUUUAGGUAGUUAUUCAAAUUAUGGAUCAGAUUUUAAAUCCGAAAUUUUGACUGCUCUCCACAAAACAUGGCCUAUGCACAAGAAAGUCAUAGAUAAUGAGGAUUACAAGUGUCUGACAUCUUUUGAGUGAUGGAUUUAACAUGAGAGCUUAUGGUCAGUCAAUUUCCUCUGCCUAGCAAUAUAAGCUUUCUCGGCCAGAUUUAUCAUCAAAUACAUAGAUUGGCCCCAAGUCACAUCCAUAUAAACAUAGUUUUUCUAGGUAAACCAAGUAAGGAGAAUCAUAAUUCAGACAUAAUCAUAAAAAGGCCCAUCUAACUUAAGAGAAAAUCUCAAAAAGAGGGAUGUUGAGCUAUCAGUCUUGUAUCUAUAAGCAAUAUCAAGACUUUACAUCACCUACUACAUCGUGAGUGGCUACACAACUUUCAGUGGUUUGUCUUUCUUUGGCAUGCCUAACUCAGCUUUGAUGUUGCUGAGAUAUUGAUAGUAAAGACACAUGAUACUUCUAGCCCAUGCAUUCUAUCUAGCUCAUCCGACAACUAUCUCUUUUUUAAUUCAUUAGUGUUUGCUAAACCUCAUGCUUAAAAGUCCUAUUCUCCUAAACAAAGCUUCCUAAGAAUGACUUCCUCAGCACCACAUUUGGACACUUUUAGAGCAAUUUUAUUUGGGGGAAAAGAAUUUUCAAGGUGUUAACUAAUAAAUUUUAAAAAAUAAUUACAAUUUGUCCCACAAUUAUAUGACAAUUUAUCUGGGAUGAAAGGAUACAGACAGACAUCUUCCACUUUCAAGACUAAUCACUACUUCUGUAGAUGUUUUGCAAUAAUACAAAUACUUGACCAGAUGGUAGAAAAAAAUUUUAUUGCUCCAAAAUUAAAAUAAGAAUGCAAUAUGUUAAGCAAAAGACUGUGCAACAUCAAAUUAAUUGAUAAGUUUGUAAUUCAGUAAAUUAACAACUUUCAUGGUAAAAUACAACAAAUUUCUUUUCAAAAAAAUUUAAAAAAUAAUUAAAAGACAGCAUUCAAUUUUUUGCGCAUCUUAUUUCUUAAGAUUUUCCAGGAGGAGGGCACUAGAGGGACUUUCACCUAUGCAAGAGAGCAGAAGCCUUACUUUCGCUAUAAAGUAGACGUCAUUCUGAUUAAUAUGCGUUUGCAAAUCAGCUCCAUUUGAAUCAGUAUUCUGAUAGACACAUGAGGCAUUUACAUCCAUUUCCAAAGUCACAUGUUGCGAGGAGGACUCAUUUGAUUGCUCCUCUAGGAUCAUCUAAUUCAAGUAGCAAGGGUUGGAAGAGAAUAAAAAGUCACAAUUAUUCUUUUGCAUAAGUGAGACGAAAAUGAUAAAUGCAAUAUUAUCAGCAGUAAACAAGAAGAGAACACUCCAAGGAAUAGAUAGAUGCGGACAAGCAAGUUAAAAUGCACAGUUCCAAACCUCCGCAUACAACUUCUCUAAAAUAGCAAUAACGUGUUGAUGAUAUGUUUUCUCAGCAUCUACCUGCAAAGGCCUGAGACCAGGAAAACAACAAUAAAACCACUAGCUAAAGGAGAAAGUAAAGAAAGAAAUACACUUGACAUAAAUCUUGACAAGAAGCACAAUUUAAGACAUAACAAACCCCAAUCAGAUUGUUUAGAACUACCAUUCGUUAUUUCGUUAUUGUAGCAUUUCGAACAAGUGUUGACUUAAUUCAACAUUGUUGGAAAGAUAGGCUUUUAGAAGCGGAAGAAAGCCACUCAAACCAAAGUGAUUGUCCUUGUAUUGAUCAAGGGAUGUAAACAUAUUACAUUUGCAGGAUGAGUUUUAAUCACUCCCCUGAUUUAUUUGGGUUGCAGUAAAACUAAGCGAGCAACUGUUUGACUUUCAAGCAACAUCUAAAUCAGCUAUUAAAAUUCAAAUAAAAUUAUAAUAGAAUAAUAACAGGCCAUCUUGCAUAAAAAAUUAAGUUUAAUUUGUGAAUUUUUUUCUAUAGACAUGUUAGUUCCUGCUAUUGAAAUGUUAAAAGCAUUGAAAAAUUAUUCAAUAAAUUAUGCAAACAUUAAAAUAGAGGACAUAUUAAAAAGUUUCUAAUUACAAUGUUAAGAUUUCCUAUAUUUUAGCAUUUGCAUAUUUUAAUUUAUUUAAAAGUUACGUCAAUCAACUUUGGGCGUGAAGAUUUUAGCUUCUAGGAGACUUGAUUGGAAUAUGCAUAAGGAAGAGUGUUAAAAUAUGAUGCAUCCAACGAAAGACAAACCACGUGUAGUCUUUUAAUUAAGCCAAAGUAGCAGCUCAAACAAAUGACACUUGGACCAACAUGCAAUCAUGAAGUGGCCGGAAAAAGGACAAAUGCAACUUUGGCUUAAAUAAAAAAUAACAUGUGACUUGACUUUUGCUGGACAUGCAUCAUGUUAUUACAAGACAACAGAAAUCAGUAUGAUAGUACUAAAAGUUGACAAUAACAUGAAGAUAAGAGGCAGAAUGUCAACACCUGCAUAGGCACACACAAGAAAGUAUUAACAUAUAUACCAUAGCAAAAAGUCUUUGAUAUGUCAUCUGUUGCUGCUGUGAUUCAACUGACAGCAUGGCAGCUGUCGCUUCUCUACCAAGAGCCAUUAUUGUAGAUUUAAGCUCGGUCAAUCUUGCUUCUGCAUUUCGAAGCUUCACAGCACUCUCUGCUGAUAUAUCAGAUUUCCUUAUCUUUGAUCGGUGCCUAAAUACUUCAGCUGCCUGGUGAAAAUAUUCAAUAUAAAUCUAACAUAAUUCUCAUCUUGCCUUAUACAUGCAUAUGUUACCUCAAAGCUUGCCUGGGCUUCAACUUCAUGUCGAAGUUUGUCAUAACGAUGAGUCAGGUGUCGAGCAUCUUCCAAAGGUGCUCCGUUGAUUAACGCCCGUAGUGGCUCAUAUACCUACAUGUCCAAAAACCUGUAACAUAGUUAGAAAAAUGAAAAGAAAGAGCGAAACCUCAAUUAAAAAGUUCCUCCAACAUAAUCAUGGAAUUUGGGCCUACUUCAAGGAUAUAUAUAAGGAUAAUUUAUGCAAUUUUGGGUCUUAGGAUGAUUCAUAUUAGGUUAGUGUUCUUCUCUUCUGUAUUUAAGGUUAAAAUAGAAAUAAACCUAUGCAAAUAUCUAAAUUAGGGCUGUAAGACUUCCACAUGCAUCCUUCAGUCUCAUGGAUUUGAUUUUACUAUAGAUGCAAGUGUCUUUAUCGAAAAUGCUUGGAGUCAAUUGAGAGAACUCACAGCCAAUAACUUGUCACAUGCUAGUCUUUGCUAGUGAUGCAAGAAGUCACAAGGUCUCUUCAACAUUUGAACCAAUAAAAUUAUUAAGUCAUGGAUGUCACUAGCAAUGAUUUCAAUAUAAAACAUUAAAUAUUUCAAGUUGUAACUUUAAAAUGAAUUCUUUUAUUCAAUAUCUUAGAACUAAGUUUCCUUAUGAGAAGAUAAUAGUUUCAGUAGUAAUUUACAUGAAAUUUUCUAUAUUUGAAUUAUUUUCUAGUUAGGGAUGAACUAACCUGAUCAUGAAGAAUCCCAAGCAAAGUUUCCCUCUCAUUUUCCAUCAAAUCAUGUGAAGUGCCAAAUUGAAGAGCAGCUCUUGCAGCGCAAGAAUUGUCACUUUGAUUCUCCGCUCCAUACUUGCAACAAUCUUCAGCCAACUUUCUUGCUACAAUAUUUGAAUACAAAAAUAUUGUACACAAGAACCAGUCAAGAAAAUAAAAAAAAAAUCAAAUAUUAUAACGAGAGCAAGAGCAAACAAACAACCUAUUUCCAUUUGUUUCAAGCUUACUGCAACAAACCCUUCAACGCCACGGACAAUAUUCCUCUGAAAAUGCUGUGCUACAGAGCAUAUAUUCCAAAUUAUUGUUCAGAUAAAACCAUAGAAACCAUCAUAAUUAUCAACAUACAUUAAGCUCCGUUUGGUAAAUACUUGCAACUUCAGUCUAGAAAAUACAGUUGUUUGUACCAUAUUUGACAAAAUUAUUAUUUAAAAAUCAUAACUAAUUACCAAAAGCCACAAUAAAUCAAUAUCAAACAGAGUCUUAUUAUUAGCUAAAGGAGGAUGGUGCCUUAGCUGCCCUGGUGGAAUUGUAUAGAUUUUAAAGUUGUUGGUGACACUCAAUUUCAGCUUCAUGAACCGCAAUAUUUUCAAUACCAAGAUGGAGCAGAUGCUUCAAUACUGCCUGUACAAAUCAUAAAAAACUAAUAAAAAUAAAUAAAAUCGAGAAAUUUCACUAACUAAAAGUCUAAAUAUAAUUUUUGAAAAAAGAAAAGAAACGGACUUGCUGCUGCUUGGCGACUUGUUCUCGGAGCUUGAUUGCCUGUUUCUUGAUAGCUUCCAUACUGUUUCUUUCAAAAAGCAACGAUGGCUUAGCUCAUGGAGGUGGAAAAAAAAAGUGUGAUCGAGAAAAAUAAAAAGGCAUGAAUAAUUUUUGACAAAAAGCGAAAAAUAAAAAGGCAUGAAUAAUGAAUAAUUUUUGACAAAAAGCUCUUUCCAGAAAAUAAAAAAAGAAAAAAGAAAAAAGAAAAUUAUAAGUUUGAAAGGAGUAGAUGAUAGUGGAAGUGUGCGGUGUGGCUGCCAGCUACUUGGAUUGUAUUGUCGGGUAAGGUAAUAGCAGAGAAUUUUUUUUUUUGAAGAAAAAUGGGUAAUUUUUAAAAACCUCCGCUGAGGUUUGGGCUUGUUGUAAGUAGAUGGCGAGAAUCCAUUUAUUUGUAAAAAACCCCCUACGUUUUUGCUCCGCUUGGUUGCCGUUUGGGCAAUUGUGGGCAUUGUUGACAUUUCGCAAUAAAACAAAUCUUUUGCAACUUUCGUUUCCUUGAGAACAAUAGCUAGAUUUCUCAAUCUGUUUCAUCCAACACUUCAAAAAUUUCAACUUUUAUGAGUUAUUGCAUUCUCUGGCAAAGUAGACUUCUUCUAAUUUUAUCACAGUGCUUUCAGGAACAAGAAUGGGAUGCAUUAACAUCCCCUCAAAUUUUACAGCUUCCUUACAGCUAUACACUGCUGUAACACGAAGUUUAAUGAUUCCAUCGCCAAAUAGUCCCCAAAAUCUAUUCUUCCCCAUAUUGAACAACUUAAGUUCACAACACUUGCAUUCUAAAGGCUUCCCACUAACAUCUAAUAUCUCAAGACUCAACGUUGCUUUACAAUAAUUGUUAUUACUACCAAACAAACAUGAAGAAACCCCGAUUAUCGGAUAAAUCAACCCAAAAUGAACAAGAGAAGAACCCAAAACAAGUGAAUCGCUAGAGCAAAACCCCCAACCCAUAUCCCUAAUCCCACACUCAAAAAAACCCAAUUUCUCUCCAAAGUCAUUGACACUAGCAUCACUACUAGACUCUAAUUCCAAUCCUAGAUUACAUUUAAUGUUAACCCAACUAAAAUGAAUGUUCUUACUACAAUACGCAUCGUUUACACUCUCAAACAACGCGCUGAACUUACUCUUAAACGAUCCCACAUUGGUCAAACACUCAUCACUCACAUCGACAUCCAAGAAUUCACUCAAAAACUUCAUAGACUCGACAAUUGGAGAAAACAAAACCACUAAACUCAACUUUAUACAAGCAUACCCAUCGAGAAUCUUACCGUCAUUAACCGAAUCACAACAAAUGACCGGGUCCCACGCGCAGUCGUGAACGAGCUUACGCAUGGACGGGGCAACAUUUAACCCCCGCGGCAAAAACGACGAAGCUUUGGAAAAAUUGUGUUUUAGAGCUGGGUUGAGGAGUAGAGAUUGGAGAGAUUGGAAGGUGGAAUCGGGACGGUCAAAGGAUAGAGAGAUAGAAGGGAAGGGGAUCUUUAAAAGAGAAGUGGGGAGAGGGAGGAGAAGAAGGAUUUGAAAGAGAAAAGAGAGGAACGGAGAGGCGGGAAUGAGAUUAAGGUUUUCACUGCAACUAAAAGAGUAAUCAUGUAUGGCUCUUGGUCUUGGAGAUGAAGGAGAGGAUUCAGGUCGAUUAAGAGGACUAUACGCUGCAUUUUGGUGUAGUCUGCCGCCAUUGGUAGAAGUUUCGAAGUGGGUUUCUGUUUAGAUCCGAGUUUGACGAAGAAACGUGGUGGUUGCGCUUGGGACAAUAUUGUUUUUGCACUGGUCAUUGUAAAAAUUAAAUGACGGUAGGGAGUUUUUUUAUAAAUAAAUGAAUUCUCGUCAUUUAUAACAAGUCGAAACCUCAAAAAAGAUUUUAAAAAUUAGCCGAAGAUUCGAAAAAUAGUAGAGAAUUUUUUAAAAAGCUAGAACAGAGCAUGUUAGACUUUUGUGGACCAAAUUCAAAAGCCGAAGGGCACGGCCCAAAAGCUUUUGAAUACAAUAACUUACUAGAAAGCUCUAUUUUUUGUUGGCUACAGUAAAAGUAUGUUGUUUUAUGCUUCUUAUAUGUUACGCUUGCAUCAGCCUCAAUCACUUCUUAAUCGCUUGCUUUAACUGCAUCGCUCUCUGUGUACUCUUCUACACAUGUAAUGGUUAUGCGGUUGUAGUUCACGGCUGAGGCUACGUGUUGGUUUGACGCGACAGUUACGUUACGACAUUACGAGUCUGCUAAACAUUCGGUGAUAGAGCAUUAUUAGUUAUUUUAAGGGGACAAAUAAGAUUGGUUGCAAUAAACCCACUAAUAUUAUAAAAUUCGAGUAAUAUAGAAUAAAAUAAAAAAAUAAAUACAAAAUUGGCUUUUAUUUUUUAUGGUUGACUGUAUUUUGUGUUCUCUUCCGGCACUACUACAAUUGUUCCCUAUAUAUCAUCAAUACAAGAAAUGAAAUCUAAUGUCACCUAUUUAGUUAAAGAAUUACUCAUGAAAAAAUUUUACCAUUUUACUUUUUUACUUUGAGGAUCCAUAUUUUGAACUGCAAGCUAAUGUUCAUCAAGAAUCACUAAUGUUCAUAAAAAACAAGUAGAAAAACUAUUUUUGGACAAAUUAUUUUUGUUGAUAAAAGAAUUUCUUAAGGGACUACUAAUAUUAUGAAUAACAUUAUGAAUAACAAUGUAGAACACACCCACAUAUCAUCGACACAAUUGACUUUAAGGAUCCAUGCUUUGAAUUGCCACCUAAUGUUCAUCAAGAACAGAGUAUGCCUUGUGAGUAGAAAAUUUUAUGAUUUUGGUCCGAAAUAAAAAGAAAUUAAAUUAGAUGAGAAUCUGCCACUUUCUCAUAAAGAAAGGCAUACGGAGCAUACCAUGGUACCAUACAAUACAAAGAGUCUUUAUUCUCUGGUUUUUCAAACUCUGAAGGGGCCAAUAUUCCCGAAUUCCCCCUUGAAAAUUCUGAUUACGACAUUAUUCAAUUCUUGACACAAUCAAAGUAGCGAGAAAGUUAAGAAAAAUAUGAGUCCUAAGUAAUGGCUAGGUAGGGUUCUUGAGAGCAAAAUUGUCCUAAGCAUUAUAUGCAUACAUGGUGUGGUACAUAGAGCACGUUGAAUUCCACACUAUAACACAAACCCAGAAAGACAAGUAAUAACUCAACUGAUAUAAAGACAAAAAGAAGAUAAAAUGAUAUAGAAAAAAGAAUUUCAAAGAGACAGCAACAUACGAUAGACUGAAGCCACUUGAUCUGCUCACUGAUUGCAGCCUUAAACUUACAAAUAGUUACUGUACGCUAGUGCUCUAAGAAGUGAAAAUGAUAAGAGACCUAAUUUCCUUUUGACUUCCAUUUACUGUCAAACAUUCUAGUAAUACAAAAAAUUGUUUAGAUAUCUUGCUAUAAAUAUAGUCGUUUGACUGUCAUAAUAAAGUCACAAAUAACCAUUCAUAUUGAUCCACUGUCACACAGCAUGCUUUAUGCAUACAACAUCUGCAUGUAUACCAACUCCUAACCUUAUCAAUACAUUUGGCAAAAACUUAAGAAGAAAACUAUUUCUCCAUCUCUUUUUUGAAAUUUCACAAUAAACCAGCACAUUGUGAAAGCUAUGUUCUAAUCUUAUGAUAAAUGCUCUAGACUCCAAAAGGAUUUUAUUUAUGAGAGUUUGUUGCAGCAGAUAUAUUGACUUAUCAAGUAUGAAUCAUUGUCUGGAUGAACUAUCUUUAAAUAAAAGAAUAUUAGAACCACUGUAGAAUAUCUUUACGCUGCUGGUUCUAACAGGAAUCUGCAUGUGGCAACAAUUGCUAGAUCCACAAUUCCCCAACUUGAAAUACAUAGUUGCACACCGUGAGAUAGUGCUGCAAUCUACUGAGAUCUAACUUAUUUGAUACUUUAAGCUACUAAUGUUUGCAUAUUUCUACAUGUUAAAUUGACACUACCAUCUAUAAUCACCCCAAAACGACAAAUGAUAAGCAGCUUUUGGCCACUUAUUACUAGCAUCCACAACACAAUUAUAAAUAAGAGAUCAUGGGUUUACUUGUUGCAACUACUUAAUGAUCUGCAUUUGAGACCCUGACGCAAGGUUUAAAUAGUGACUGCUUAGAACCCUUGUAGUUGGAUCUUGACCUCUCCCAUUGUAGCCAAGAUUGGCUACUCUGGUAAUGAAUCAACACUCUCCUGCUUAUUUUUUUGUUUUUAAAAAAUAACGAAAUCAUAAAAUAAAUAAACACGUGUUUGGUUUUGGGCAUUUUCUUUUGUUCAUUUAAUAUCAUCUGGCUCCCUGAUUUUUUACUAAUUAACAACGGAAUCCUGUUAGUUUCUAAAUUGAAAUAAUAAAAGGUCACGAGAUUAUUUACUCCAUUUAGCACUGUAGACUUAGAGUAUAUUGAAAAAGCUUUGUCAAAUAGUAGUAAUAGGGGCAUAAUAAAUAAGUUUUUCAGAAUUUACAUAAUGUACUUGGCUCUAGGAAGAUUGCCCUCUUAUCACUCAAGUUAGGUUUUGCCUUAGAGUUGAGGUAAAUCAUUAAAAUAAAUUAUAGCUAUUACAAAUUCGUUAGGAGAAUUUCAAUUUUUUUUCCAUUAAAUGGCUAUGACGCAAAAUUACCUCAGCUUAUAUUGCAACACUAAUACUUCAAAUCCUAACAAUAAAAUUGAUGACAAUGGUUUUUAUGUAUAGUAAUUUUCACUCUUUUGUUUGAUCUAAAAGUAGUUCUUAAAAUGACAAUGAUGACUUAUUUAGAAGAAAUGGCAAACUUAUAGUUUGUAAUAUUGUUUGCACAAACAAUAAAGACUAAUUUGAUAAUAAUGAAGUGUUAAUUACUAUUUAACAUUUUUAAUUAAUUUUUAAAUUUAAAAAAAAUGAAGGCCGAAACUUGUGCAUUAAAUUUUAAUUAAAAGUUGAUUGCUUCGAAGGUUUGAUCGUGACAAAUUGACAAUUGAAAAAAGAAGUAGGGAAUAUAUAUUCUGAUGAAAGGGACAAGAUUAAGCAAGGGGACAAUAUUGUCUAUUGGACCUACAAAUGGGGGCAAAGAUCUAUAUAUUCCAAAAUCUCUUAUUUGUGGAUUGGCCACCACGUGUAACUAAUAUAAAAAGAGAAAAUUUGGCAUGGUUUUAACCGAUAUAAGGGUCCGUUUGGGAUUGAGGUGUUGUAGCUUUUAAGCUAUAGCUGUUGUGGAAAAAAAACUGUAAGUAUUAAAUAAAAGUUAAUAAUAUAUAGUAAAUAUAAAUUUUAAAUAAUAAUUUUGAUGAAAUUAUUAAAGAUAUAAUAGAUUUUCUAUUAUACAAAUGAAAAUUCAUAUCAACAUAGCUUAAAAGUUACAGCAGUUAGUGUUUACCAAACACUUUAGUGCUGUAGCUUUUAAACUACAGCUGCCCAACCUCAAUCUCAAACGCACCCUAAGAAGAGAAAAUUUUGAGUGUAUAAGAAGAGAAAAUUUUGAGUGCACAACAAGAACAAAGCAAAACCCAUGAAAAUUCACCUUUCAUGUGGGUUGGAUUGGAUAAAAUCAAUAUCUUGAAUCAAACAAAAUGUUUGGUACUUGAAGUUUUUUUUAACAUUUUCAUUUUUUUUCCAUUUAUGAAGUCCAGUUUUUUUUUAAUUUUUAUUUUUUUGAAUGAUUUUGAAGGUGUUGAUAUAAGGUCAUCGAAGGUUUGUGAACUUGGGGUGUUGAAUUAUAAGGCGAAGCGUGUGUUUUAUCCAUUUGAAGCAAGUAAAUUUCGCUGUCGGUAUGAUUACUAUUGGGCUUCUAUCUUCAAGGUAUUCAUACAUUUUCCCCUGUACUAUAAGCUUCUUAGUGGCGGUCUUGUGAGCGGAAGUGAGCGGUGUGGCUGACAGCUUCUUGAAAAUUAUAAGUUUGAACAGAGCAUGUUAGACUUUUGUUGACCAAAUUCGAAAGCCAAAUGGCACAGCUCAGAAGCUUUUGAAUUGAAUAACUUACUAGAAAGCUCCAAUUUUUUGUUGGCUACAGUAAAAAGAGGUUGUUUUAUUCUUCUUAUACUUUACGCUUGCAUCAGCUUAAAUCACUUCUUAAACGCUUUGCUUUAACUCCACCGCUUCGUACUGUUCUAUAUAUGUAUCGGGUAUGCGGUUGUAGUUCACUGCUGAGACUACGUGUUUGUUUAACGUGGAAGUUACGUUACGAGUCUGUUAAAACAUUCGGUGAUUAAAGUAUUAUCAGUUAUUUCAAAGGGACAAAUAAGAUUAGCUACAACACACACUAGUUUUAUAAAAUUCGAAUGAGAUGGAAUAAAAUAAAUAAGUAAAUUGACUUUUAAUUUAGUGUUUGAAUAUAUUUUGUAUUCUCUUUGGGCACUGCUGUAAUUGUUCCUUAUCACACCCAUAUGUUAUAGACACAAGAAAUGAAAUUUAAGAUCACCAGUUUAAUUAAAGAAUCACUCAUGAAAAAAUUUUGCCAUUUUGAUUUGAGGAUCCACAUUUUGAACAACCAACUUAUGUUCAUUAAGAACAAAGCAUUGCCUGUGAGUAGAAAAAUGAUUUUUGAACAAAUUAUUUUUUGUUUAUAGAAGAAUUUCUCAAGGGACUAUUAAAAUUACUAAUAAAAAUGUCAGACACACCCAUGUACCAUCGACAAAAUUAACUAUGAGGAUCCAUGUUUUGAACUGCCACCGAAUGUUCAUCAAGAACAUAGUAUAACUUGUGACAAGAAAUUUUUUUGAUUUUGGCCUGGAACAAAAUGAAAUUAAAUUGAAGGAGAAUCUACUACUUUCUCAUUAAGAAAGGCAGACGGGGCAUACCAUGGUACCAUACAAUACAAAAAGUUUCUGUUCUCUGGCUUUUCAAACUCUGAAGGGGGUAAUAUUCCCCAAUUCCCUUGUGAAAAUUCUGAUUACGACAUUAUUCAUCGCUUGAUACAUAAGUAAAAGUAGUGAUAAAAUUAGAAAAAAUAUGACUUAUAAGUAAUUACUAGGCAGGGCUCUUGAGAGCAACAUUGUGCUAGGCUUUAUAUGCAUACAUUGUGUGGUACAUUCUACACUAUAACACAAACCCAGAAAGACAAGUAAUAUCUCAACUUAUAUAAAGACAAAAAGAAGAUAAAACGAUACAGAACAAAGAAUUUCAAAGAGACAGCAACAUACAAUAGACUGAAGCCAGUUGAUCUGCUCGUUGAUUGCAGCCUUAAACUUGCAAAUGUUUACUGUAGCCUGGUGCUCUAAGAAGUGAAAGUGAUGCAAACCUUGAUUCCCUGUUUACUUCCAUUUACUGUCAAACAUUCUAUUCAUACGAAAAAAAUUGUUUAGAUAUCUUGCCGUAAAUAUAGCCAUUUGAUUGUCUUAAUAAAGCCACACACAACCAUUCAUAUUGAUCCACAUUGCCAUAUAGCCUGAUUUAAGCAUACAACAGCUGAAUGCAUACUGACUCCUAACCUUAUCAAUACAUUGGAGACAACUUAAGAAUAAAACGAUUUCUCCAUCUCUUUUUUUGAAAUUUCACAAGAAAACAGCACAACGUAAGAGCUGCAAUGAAAAUGGACCGUCAGGAACUAUGGCGGAAGCUUCAACUAGUGUAGUGAUUUGACCUUCUUAUUAACUUAGCGAUAUCAAGCACUGCCCUUCAUCUUGAACAGAUCAAUACAAUACGCACAACUUAUGAUUGAAUCCAGAAACAAUCAAAUCUUUAGCAAGAAAAAUUAAUCAGAAUCAAGAAACAAGUUCAAUGAAUAUAAACCUAUAAUUGGAACAAACACAGCCAAAGAACCCAAGAAUGACACAACCUACACCACGGGAGAAGCUUUCCAGUGAGAUUUUAUUGAUGAUCAAAGAAGAAUCUUUUUACAAAGCUAACAAAAGAGAUUUCAGAGAAUAAGCUAUGACUCUCUCUCUUCAAUCUCUCUCUCUUCAAUCUCUCUCUAGUUUAUUCACAGUGAUGACCCCAAUCUGCUUCGUUAGCCAGCUUCAUAACUGCGUCAGUGACAAACUAGCAAACCCAGAUUGAGCAGAUUACCGACACGUGGAUAACGGCUAUUAAGAACUUGGUUAAAGAACUGCUCACAUAUUCGUCACGCGUGUUACUUAAAUGAUGGCCAAAACGACUUCAACCAGAUGCCGUUUUGAAGCUUGUGAAUUAUAAUUGAAAACACGUGCUUGUCUCGUGACACUUAAAUACAACAACAAGCCCAAAACACUGCUGUUAUCCACCUCUCCAGCUAGUGUGCUUAUUGAGUCCCAGUAGUUGAUAUUCCAAAACAGGGUGUUCAAAUACAAAUUCCAAUCCACUUCACCUAAAUUUAAUACAAGCCAUCUUGAAGGCUCUAACUUGGGAAGGGACACAAGUCCCAUAACCACAAAAGGAAGGAGUGAGAAAAUCCCUAAAAGAACAGCAGCCCAUCCCACAAUGGUUAGACCCCUAUAGUUCAUGAAAGUGAGAACAAAAGUCAAAGCUAACACCGCAAAGGCUCUAGGUAACCCAUCGCCCAAAGCAGGGAUACCAGACUUAAAGUAGUCAAGAAACAGAACUGGGUAUAAAGCAUUAUCAAUAACCCCACUUAGCCAUUUCAUCCAAACUUGCUGAAAACCUCAAUAUGGGCCUAAGGCAGAUGAAACCCAACCCACAUAACCACAAUUUCAGGAAACACGGUACCCAUCUCGGCAGUAAUUNNNNNNNNNNNNNNNNNNNNNNNNNNNNNNNNNNNNNNNNNNNNNNNNNNNNNNNNNNNNNNNNNNNNNNNNNNNNNNNNNNNNNNNNNNNNNNNNNNNNAAACACCAAGAAACCAAGAAGUGCUAAAAGAGGACCAGCUGCCUUUACACUAUCCUCAACACCAAACGGCCCCCCAGAAACCUCAUAGAAUAUAAGGAAAAUAAGUGGCAAGAUUGAUACUUUUUUAGUGCCAUGGACUCCAGGAGAAGAUGGUUGGUCAUUGAUAUUAACAUAUUCAACAGCAUCAGACUGCCCCAUUUCUACUGAAACUUGCCUAUUUACAGUGUUCAUCAAUUUCUGCAUCAAGUUUUAGCAUAACUAUCAAAAGGGUAUCCGCAUGUAAAUUAUGAAACAAAAUGAGCAUUUACUUAUUAAAAAAAAAUAAAAAACAGAAAUGGAUUUCACAGAACACAUGAACUUAAGUUCAACAUUAAACAGGCGCUUAAGAAAACAAAAGGGUCUGUUCGUAAAGCCAUCAGAUUGCAAGAUUGAACAACAUUAACGGAAUCAAUAGAAUAGAUGUAAAGAGAUCUGAAAAGAAAAUAAAAUAAAAGAUGAAGAGAGAUAAAACGAACCAUCAAAUAAGUGCAUGCAGAGCAGAGAGGCAGAUGCUAGAGGAGCUCCGUCAUGUUAGAGAGAGCCUAAAUCAAUCAGAGCUCACUGAGUUUCUUUUCAACCGACCGGCAAAUUUGGAGUGGCACAACAUAAUAUUUUUGCUUUUAAUUUUUGGAACACUUUUGAAUGGAAUUUUAAAAAAAAAAAAAGGUAAGGGAGAUUUGUAUUUAUUUAGCCUUAUAUUUUUUAAAAUAUUUUUAAAAUAUUUUUAUUAAUAUUUUUAUUAUAUUUUUUAAAUUUUUAAAUUUAUUUUUAUAAUAUUAUUUUUUUAUAAUAAUUUUUUAUUUAGAUAUUAAUAAAAAAAAUUAAAUUAACAAUUUAAUCCCAAAAUAAAUAAACACGUGUUUGGUUUUGGGCUUUUUCUUUUGUUCGUUUAAUAUCAUCUGGCUCCCUGAUUUGUGACUAAUUAUCAACGGAAUCCCGUUGGUUUCUAAAUUGAAAUAAUAGAAGGUCAUGAGACUAUUUACUCCAUUGAGCACUGCAGACUUAGAGUAUAUUGAAAAAGCUUUGUCAAAUAGUAGUAAUACGGGCAUAAGAAAUAAAUUAUAACUAUCACAAAUUCGUCAGGAGAAUUUCAAUUUUUUCCAUCAAUAAUGGCUAUGAAGAAAAAUUACCUUAGGUUAUAUUGCAACACUAAUACUUCAAAUCCUGAUAAUAAAUUUGAUGACAGUCGUUUUUAUAUAUAGUAAUUUUCGCUCCUUUAUUUAGUUUAAAAGUUGUUCUUAAAAUGACAACGAUGACUUAUUUAGAAGAAAUGGUAAACUUAUAACUUGUAAUAUUAUUUGCACAAACAAUAAUAAUGAAGUGUUAAUUACUACUUAACAUUUUUAAUUAAUUUCUAAAUUUAAAAAAAAUAUGAAAGUUGAUUGCUUCGAAGGUUGGAUCGUGACAAAUUGACAUUUGAAAAGAGAAGUAGGGAAUGUAUAUUCUGAUGAAAGGGACAAGAUUAAGUAAGGGGACAAUAUUCUCUAUUGGACCUACAAAUGGGGGGAAAGAUAUAUAUAUAUUUUAAAAAAAAAUUCUUAUUUGUGGAUUGGGCACCACGUGUAACUAAUAUAAAAGGAGAAAAUUUAGCAUGGUUUUAACAGAUAUAAGAAGAGAAAAUUAACUGUUCAAACAAAUUAGAAGCAAAUUCUUUCAUAUCUUUCUUUUAUUUUUCCGCUUACUUUCUUAGCAUCCAAACAAGUUAAAGUUAAAACGCUGUUGAGCCAACAAUAUGCAGGCAUCAAUAAGCAUAGUAGUUUUGUAUAUGUAUUCUAUUCGAUAUUCUGGGGAUGUCAAUUGUAGAACAUUUUGUGGUAACUUUUUUACAUUAAUUAAUGUUUGAAGAACUUGUUAAAAAGAAAAUGGUAAUUUUAUCAUUUUGAAAGACCAAAAAAAAAAAAAAGAGUGAAAGUGGCGUUACCUCAUGGUCAUUAGAGACUUGUUGCAAUGAUAGAUCAAAAUUAAAAAUUUGUGAAGAAUUAGUAGACAACGACAAUACUAUAUUUAUACAGUCACCAACGUGUUGAUUUUUGUUUAAUGUUUGAUCGAUAGAAACUUUCGUCGUCGUCGCCGUUGUUGAAUUCAUGCUUAGAAUACCACAAGAGAAGAAGAAGGGAGGAAAGGGAAAAGAAGAAGAGAGAAGUGGUGGAUAGCAAAUAUGAUAUGCUAGCUACACACAGGCCUUAGAGAGUUUUUUUUUUUUAAUAUUUAUUGUAUUUUUGUUUUUGUUAUUGGUUUGUCAUAUGCUUCCAAUGCAACAAUGCGUUACAUCAUAAAUUGCACCUUUUAGGGGAGGUGGUAAAAAACAUGAGAGCAAUGCAUUCUAGCGCAUACAUGCAGAAAGAGUUUCCAAAUUUUCAAAAGUUUCUUUAUUUCUUCCACCUUUUUUUUUGCUUAAAAUAAAUUUUAAUUGUAUUUUGCAUUAACUUAGAGAAAAAAAAAAACCAGUUCUAUACAUAAACGCGUACAUUGAUUAGAAAAUGAGUUUUAUGGACACAAAGGGACAAUAUAAGAGAUUCUUUUUGUUUAUUAGAAGUAACAUAACUAGUUAGUGUAACAUGUAAUUAUAAGCUACCAAGAAUUUGCACUGAUGGUAAUUAACAGUACAGAUUUUGAGCUAUGAAUGUCUUGUGGCUAGUUUAAUUGGAUUUUCGAGUUUUCAGCAAACCUAUUUUAAUGAUUAUUAAAUUAUUUUCACUUCUUAUGCCUUAAUAAAAAAAUUCAAUAUUUUUUGCUGUAUUCUAUAUUUUAAAACUUAAUUUUUAAUUCUUUAUAUUGCAAACCAAACUGAGUCAAACAGAGUAUGCUCUUCAAAGAAUUUUUUCCACUGCCUUCAAGAAGAAUUCAUUUUGUUUCUAUAUAUUAAUUUAACACUUGUAAACCGGGCCGUCGGAUUGCACAUAAAGCAAAUGAUCAAACCGUUACAAGACCGGCCCAGGCCCACCGACUCUAUUUUCUUUCAUUUGACCAUAAAAAAGCUUUUGGCCACCCCCACCAAAAAAAUAAGCUCUUGUUCUCUUUUGUUCCCUCUCAAAGGAAAAUAUCUGAUCACCGGAUAAUGAUUCCGGUGACACAAAAGAUCGAAACACCCCCCUAAAUUCCCUAAAUUUACGAUAAUACCCCACCAUGGAUGAUUCCGUUGAAAUGCCGCCUUACGAUGAAAGGCCUAAAAAGGAUUUUAACUUCACCUCCAUGCGCUUGAUCUUAACCCUCGUUUUCCAAAUUUUAACUUGCUUUUUGUUGGCAUUUUUUAUUGGAAUCGUAGCUGUUUUAUUCGGCGAAUCAUCAGUUUCCAGUUCCAUUUUUGUCCCUUCCCAGUGCAAGAUAGUGUCCAGCAGUAAGCUUUUUUUAACAUUUUCAAUUUUUUUUCCAUUUAUGAAGUCCAAAAUUUUUUUUAAUUUUGAUUUUUUUGAAUGAUUUUGCAGGUGUUGAUAUAAGGUCAUCAAAGGUUUGUGAACUUGGGGUGUUGAAUUAUAAGGCGAACCGUGCCUUUUAUCCAUUUGAAGCAAGUAAAUUUCGCUGUGGUAUGAUUACUAUUGGGCUUCUAUCUUCAAGGUAUUCAUACAUUUUCUCAACUUUAAUUACUUACCUGUACUAUAAGCUUCUUAGUGGCGGUCUUGUGAGCGGAAGUGAGCAGUGUGGCUGACAGCUUCUUGAAAAUAUAAGUUUGAACAGAGCAUGUUAGACUUUUGUUGACCAAAUUCAAAAGCCAAAUGGCACAGCUCAGAAGCUUUUGAAUUGAAUAACUUACUAGAAAGCUCCAAUUUUUUGUUGGCUACAGUAAAAGGAUGUUGUUUUAUUCUUCUUAUACUUUACGCUUGCAUCAGCUUAAAUCACUUCUUAAACGCUUUGCUUUAACUCCACCACUUCGUACUGUUCUAUAUAUGUAUCGGGUAUGCGGUUGUAGUUCACUGCUGAGACUACGUGUUUGUUUGACGUGGAAGUUACGUUACGAGUCUGUUAAAACAUUCGGUGAUUAAAGUAUUAUCAGUUAUUUCAAAGGGACAAACAAGAUUAGCUACAACACACACUAGUUUUAUAAAAUUCGAAUGAGAUGGAAUAAAAUAAAUAAGUAAAUUGACUUUUAAUUUUAGUGCUUGAAUAUAUUUUGUAUUCUCUUUGAGCACUACUGUAAUUGUUCCUUAAAUGCCAGUCACACCCAUAUGUUAUAGACACAAGAAAUGAAAUUUAAGAUCACAUGUUUAAUUAAAGAAUCACUCAUGAAAAAAAUUUGCCAUUUUGAUUUGAGGAUCCACAUUUUGAACAACCAACUUAUGUUCAUCAAGAACAAAGCAUUGCCUGUGAGUAGAAAAAUGAUUUUUGAACAAAUUAUUUUUUGUUAAUAGAAGAAUUUCUCAAGGGACUAUUAAAAUUACUAAUAAAAAUAUCAGACACACCCAUGUACCACCGACAAAAUUAACUAUGAGGAUCCAUGUUUUGAACUGCCACCGAAUGUUCAUCAAGAACAUAGUAUAACUUGUGAGAAGAAAAUUUUCUGAUUUUGGCCUGGAACAAAAAGAAAUUAAAUUGAAGGAGAAUUUGCUACCUUCUCAUUAAGAAAGGCAGACGGGGCAUACUAUGGUACCAUACAAUACAAAAAGUUUCUGUUCUCUGGCUUUUCAAACUUUGAAGGGGGCAAUAUUCCCCAAUUCCCUUGUGAAAAUUCUGAUUACGACAUUAUUCAUCGCUUGAUACAUAAGUAAAAGUAGUGAUAAAAUUAGAAAAAAUAUGACUCAUAAGUAAUUACUAGGCAGGACUCUUGAGAGCAACAUUGUCCUAGGCUUUAUAUGCAUACAUUGUGUGGUACAUUCUACACUAUAACACAAACCCAGAAAGACAAGUAAUAUCUCAACUGAUAUAAAGACAAAAAGAAGAUAAAAUGAUAUAGAACAAAGAAUUUCUAAGAGACAGCAACAUACAUAGACUGAAGCUAGUUGAUCUGCUCAUUGAUUGCAGCCUUAAACUUGCAAAUGUUUACUGUAGCCUGGUGCUCUAAGAAGUGAAAGUGAUGCAAACCUUGAUUCCCUGUUUACUUCCAUUUACUGUCAAACAUUCUAUUCAUAAGAAAAAAAAUGUUUAGAUAUCUUGCCGUAAAUAUAGCCAUUUGAUUGUCUUAAUAAAGCCACACACAACCAUUCAUAUUGAUCCACAUUGCCACAUAGCCUGAUUUAUGCAUACAACAGCUGAAUGUAUACUGACUCCUAACCUUAUCAAUACAUUGGCGACAACUUAAGAAGAAAACUAUUUCUCCAUCUCUUUUUUGAAAUUUCACAAUAAAACAGCACAAUGUAAGAGCUGCAAUGAAAAUGGACCGUCUGGAACUAUGGCGGAAGCUUCAACUAGUGUAGUGAAUAUAAACCUAUAAUUGGAACAAACACAGCCACAGAACCCAAGAAUGACACACCCUACACCGCGGGAGAAGCUUUCCAGUGAGAUUUUAUUGAUGAUCAAAGAAGAAUCUUUUUACAAAGCUAACAAAAGAGAUUUCAGAGAAUAAGCUAUGACUCUCUCUCUUCAAUCUCUCUCUAGUUUGUUCACAGUGAUGACCCCAAUCUGCUUCGUUAGCCAGCUUCACAACUGCGUCAGUGACAAACUAGCAAACCCAGAUUGAGCAGAUUACCGACACGUGGAUAACGGCUUUUAAGAACUUGGUUAAAGAACUGCUCACAUAUUCGUCACGGGUGUUACUUAAAUGAUGGCCAAAACGACUUCAACCAGAUGCCGUUUUGAAGCUUGUGAAUUAUAAUUGAAAACACGUGCUUGUAUCGUGACACUUAAAUGCAACAACAAGCCCAAAACACUGCCGUUUCACUUUGUUGAGUUUGCCAUCUCUAAGCUUCACAACUAGCAACGGAGAAGAUGAUAAUUAAAUUGACAUGGAGAGUUUUUAUAUCACUUUUACAACAUUCUAUAUAAUUGUGAUAUUGGGAAUCGUCGAUGUUGUAUAUGUGAACUCUCGUUGGUGACACUGGUGGUUUUAUUUUUGUUGAAAUAUGGAUGACAUUUCGUUACUAUUUUAUUGUACACAACAUUUUGUUACUAUUAACAUGUUAGUUUCAUUAGCCACUAGGCCUUUGGCUGAGUCGUUCGGGUGUCUGCCCUCCAACUUGGAGGGCAGCAGUUUGAACCCCCACAAGCGCAAUGUGGGGUAUUUCCUUCUUUAAUCCCUCGAAUAUUAGUGAAGGUUAAAAUCUAGGCAGAACUCCAUAAGUAUUGAUGUAAGUUGGUUUCAGUAAUAGUCUAAUUUGUAAAUAUCAGUUAUAAUCUCAUAUAAGAUGAGUUGUAAUUUAAGCAAUAGUCUCAUAGAAUAAUAAUAAUAAUAAACAUGUUAGCUUCAUUACAUUUUUCUUCGUUAAAAUUCUCAAGUAUUAGUCAGGUUUGCUAAAGUAAUAAAAUUUUGCCAUUAAAAUUGUAGUAGUAUUUCUGAGCACCUCACAUUUUCAAUGAUUUUUCAUAAAUCAAUUAAUCUGUCGUACCGAUAUCAGGUUUAGUUUUUCAUACUAAACAAUCAAGAAAGCAAACAUACGAAUUCACAGUUUAGAGGGGUAAACUAGGUAGGUGGUUUAGAUUUUAGAACUAGGCUAGCUACCCCACUAAAUUCCAAUUUGUACAGUGAACUACAAGAAAUUGAGAAAACAGUGUAUUUAUAGUUUAAUUGAAUCGUGAGAAAGCAAUGUAGUCAUAGCUCAAUCUGAGAUGAUCACGGAGAGUCGGAGAGGCAUAUUCUUUUCAAGUUAAUUUGAUCAAUUUAUAAGAGAUGAAGUGGAUUGAAGUUAAAAGUUUAAAUAACAAAUCCUCGUUCUUGAGUUUUACGACGUCGUUACUCCUUCAAGAGGCAGAUUAUUUAUGCAAGUGAAUGCAGAAACGCAAUGCAUCAUCCACGGGGAUGGUACAUCAAAAGGCGGGAUCAUAGUCUAUGCCCGCAGAUUAACAAUUUCGCUCAUAUAGAAAAUUAAUUUUUUAUAUAUACUAAUCAACACUAAAUUGAUUAUGUUUUGUAUGUUUAUAUGCGAAUCAACACUAAAUUAUAUUAAAUGAAGAAAUAAUUCAAUUUUUUCUAAUUUAAUUUAGAAAAUAAAAUUAUUAACAUUAAUAUUCCCAACAAAAAUUAUUUUCCAUUAGUAUUCAAAGCUUCACUUAUGGAAAAUGUGUUUUACAUGAAUAUUAGUUACCGUGUAAAUUUGAAUGAUAGUGAAAAAUAAUUUUUUAAUUAUUGUAAAAAUAAUUAACCAUAUCAAAUCCCUUACGUAAAUAAUUUUUAUUUUGAAAGAUGGUUAAUGCACAAGCAAAUUUUAAGCCCCUCUCUUCUUGGCCUAAGAUUCAAACUCAGAUGACUAGUUAAAUAAACCUAUGUGAAAAUCAUUCGGCCAGGUCCGCGGGGCAAAAAUACAAGAUCCUUAAUUUCAUAAUAUAUAUGAAUUAAUGUCAUUUACUUGAAUUAUCCAAAUUCAUCAGAGGUUAACGAGUUUUCCUGACAUGUAGCAGAUGAAGUUGUUGCUUCCUUCUUGGCAUUAUUUCAGCUCUGGUUGUUGGUCCCGAUGAGCUUUGGUCUUAUUUUAAUUUUAUUUAAACUCAUCAUAAGAUUCGUGGAGCAGCUAACUGACUUAACUGACUGUGCAGAAAUGUCACAUAGCAUAUUUAACCGUUUUAACAGUAAUUUUGAACGGUCUUCGCAGUUAUCAUCUACAAACUCGUUCGUGUUGGUCCACUAGGUGAAGUUUUUGAAAUAAUAAUAAGCUCCCAUUCUUGAUUUUAAAAAAUGUGCUUAUAAUAAUUUUAGAAUAAUGGCUUAUUUAUAGAACAACUUAUGAUUUCCCAUUAGCAUUAUUAUUGAAGUGGGGUGGAUAACGGUUCACUCAAUUCGUCGGGAAUCAAAAAUUACCAUCCAAGGCAGAAUUGUGGAAAAUUAAAGCGAAAUGAGAAAUAUGGAAAUGAAGGAAGAAAGUUAAGGCAUGAAAGACUUCCAGUUGAAAUUGAUAAUCAUGUUUCUCUUUGGUAACUAAUCAAAUGGGAAACUGAACCAUAAACAGACAUUAAAACGUGUGGACUCCGCUAGCUGCCUUACAAGCCUACAAUAAUAACUGAGUACCUUUGAUUCAUCCUUCUAUGAAUUUCUAGCCGUAUUGACUCCACCGAAAUUUCCACAAAAAAAAAAAAAAAAAGAAUUUCCACAAAAUGCAAAACGCAUGGAACUUAAUUUUUGGCCCUGUGAUCACUAAGAUACAAUCCUUCUAGUGAAGAGCAAUCAGGCAAAUUUUUUUAGAUCUCUCCGACAAAGUGAUUACCAUCUAAUCGCAAUAUUGAAUAAAAAUAAAAUUUUUAAUGGGAGUUUGACCUUAAAUUUAGAAAAUGAAUUUUAACUUUCUUCAAUUAUUAAACAGAUUACAGACAUUUGAGGAAUUUGAAAACACUUUAUCCAUCGAAAGUUAAAAUUAGAGAUGGAAGCUAGGUGCUACAGCUAAUGGGAUCAUUAAUUCCCCUCCCUCAAAUGUGUAGUUGUUCCUCUUUCCACAGCAUAAGCCUUAUAGUUAGAGUUUCUUUUAAAAAAAAUGUUAAACAAUUUCGGUUGAGCAUGGUUUUGGUAGUUGAAUAGACACCUCCGCAGUACCUCAAACAAAACUGUCAUUAUUCGUGUCAUGAAACAUGUUUCGGCCGUCAAAGUCAUGAGUAGGAGUGUGCAUGGGUUGGUUUGGGUUACAUUUUAAGUCAAUUCAAAGCAAACCAUAAAAAUUUGGGUUCAAUCCAAACCAACCUAAAUAUUUUUAACCCAACCCAAACCAACCUAUUUGGGUUUGGUUUGAAUUUUAUAAUUAAAAUAUUUUUUAUUUUAAUAAAUUUAACUAUAUCAAAUUAUAAUAAUUAUUAAAUUAAUAUUAAAAUACGAAAAAAUGUAGUGGAUAAAAAUUAUGAAUAAUGGAUUUUACAAUAACUUUGUUCUUAAAUAUUAACCAUAUUACAACAUAAAUUCUAACAAUGUCAAUACAAAUUAAAGUAAGAUAAGAUAUCUCAACUCAAGUAUCAAAGCAAUCCAUCAAAAUUAAAUUAUUUAAUUUUAUAAAUUAAAAUCAUCUGAGAAAUAAAUCUAAAAUUUAUUGUAAUUAGAAAAGCGCCAAAAUUUUAAACACAGUAAGAAAAAUUAGAUAUGAAAUCUAAUUAGGUUUAAAUUUAAUUAAAAAAUAAUAAUAGAAUCAUAUUUUAUUUGAUAAAACCUUAAAAUCAAUUGCAUUUUUAAUUUUAGUAAGUUACAAUACAAAUAGGAUUAUAAAAUUAUAUUACAGGAUUUCAUAAAAAUAUUGUUUGAGUAAUUUAUUAAAGGACUCACCUACGUUGCCACAGUUGUAGCUUACCACGCUUUUUGUCUUUUUCCAGUAAAAUCGUAGAUGCUUUCAAAUUUAAUCUAACGGCUGCAAUUAAUUAUUAGAUAAUUUAAUCAGCCAUUGGCAACCUUUACAACCGGUUAUAUUCUCUCGUUAGAUUUCUCGGCUACCAAAUAAUCCCCAAGAAAAUGACGAAGUGAGUAACUAAUACGCACACCGCAGAGAAAGAUGACAGGAGAAGAGAUGACGGUAGGCUCACCGGCACAAAGGUUCUUCGAUUGCUCUAUUUCUUCGGCGCUGGAUUUAUCUACACAGCUACAAUCGACAAGUGGCGGGAACUCGAGCGGAAGUCAUUGAAGAAGAAACAGCAAGAGAGCAAUCUAUGGACUGAUGAUAACUCAGCAACUACGGUAAAGAAAGCCAUCAAAUGAUCUUUUUUAUUUGACUUUUGAUGGAUUUUCAAGAGUUUUGGUAAUAAAAUGUCUCUUAGUUUUUCAUUUCAAUGGCCUAUUGUUUGAGUUAUUAUUAUGCAUAAUUGUUGGAAGAGUUAGGGUUUUACUAUUGGAUUUUGGAAUUUGUAUUUUGGCUUUGAUAUGUUAUUGUUGUGAUGUUGGUCAAGAAAUUUUUGACAACACUCUCCUCGAGUUUGAUACUAUAGCUAAUGAAUUUUUACGGCAGAUAUAUUCUUUUCUUUGAAAAAAAAAACACUUUACAACCGGUUAUGCAUUCAUUUAGGAGCUGUUAACUGAGCGUGAGUUCCAUAAUUUUCCAACCAGUGGUUAGGGUUUCACAGAAAAAUGUCGACAUUGAUCUUUAGGCAGCACUUAAGACUGAAAUUGGUUGUAGAGGAUUGAAUUUGGGGGACUAGAAAUUUCUGAUCAUUAAUAAUUGAAAAUGGCCUCUCACUUGUAGGCAGUUGUUGGAUGUAAUGUAUCCAGUUUCUGAAAUCGAAAGCAGAGUGAGUUCUUAGGUUAGAUGUACCUACAUGCAUUAAGGUUCGAAGAUGUAGAAUAGGCCAAUUGUUUGAUGUCAGCUUUGUUGCACAUGUUCUGAAAUUGAUCAUUUAAGAUGGCUUGGAAGCACUCCGUGAUGUGACUAAGAAGAUUCGAGGAAGUAUUAAAUAUGUUGAAAGUUCACAAUUAAUACAAGGAAAGUUCAAUGAGAUCACCUAGCAAGUUGAAAUCAACAGUCAAAAGAGCCUAAAGUGUGAUAUUUUUCUCUUGGAUUGUUUUUUUAUUUUCCAUUUCAAAGCUGAUAGUGUAAAUAUUUUGUUUGCAAAAGUUUCUAAAAAGUACUUGAGUCAAGAUGGUUAGGUAUUUUAUAACUUCCUUUUUACUUUUAACUAGAUUCAUAGAGAGUUAUAACAUUAACAUAAUUUUUUCUUUUAAAAGUGAUCAAUUAGACACUGAUGAGAUAUCUCACUUUUGAAUCAUUUAGCUUUAUGUAAUUUCAUUACUAUUAUAUGCCCCCAGGAAUUGUUGAAGUAUAUAUAUCUUGGCAUUUCUUCACUGACUGAAUUAUCUUUCAUAAUAUUCCAGCUUCAAAUGGGUACACUGCAGAGCCUAUUGGAUGCAGAAUUCCUUCUAGCUCAUAUGUGCUCUGUAAAAUUCAAAGACUGAAUAGUGGUUAUGGCAACUCUUUGUAGAUGAUCUAAGGUAUAAUGCCCAAUUAUUGCUUUUGCUUUAUCUGUUUUACCUUGCAACAUUUUGAAAUUUAUGAGAAGCAUAAAAUUACUGUGCCAAAAUUGAGGAUCUGAACUUUCGUAAAAAUAUUUGUAUUUUUAAAUUAUAAAAUAUUGCAUUUGAUGCUUUAGGUGGAACUUAGUUCACUACAGAAAGGAAAAUUAUGUUGGGCAUAACCAGAUGUUUUUCAAGAGAAAAUUUCACUGAUAUUUUUCUGAGGAUUUUACUUGGCCAUCUUAUUUCAAGCUGCUUGAAUUUUUUCUUUAUAUCAUCUUGGUUGUAUACUAUAACUCAUUGAAUUUGCUAGCACUUUUGCUAGUUGUUUAUUCUAUAUGUGAUUGUGGUGGUAAAGUUUGGAAGCUCAAAAAGUAAUGGAACUUAGGAAGAGUAUGACAUAGAAUGCUGGAUAGAAUCAAAAUAAUCAUUCUUCAGGCAUCCAAAGAUGAUGUAUUCAAAAUAGCUAGUUUUGACUUUUGAGGCCGUAUAAAUAACUAUUAUCUCACAUGGUUACAUUAUGAUAGGUAGGCACUAGCUUAAUAACUCCAAUUAACUUGAAGUUGUUACCUGAUUUAUUAUGACAGUGUGCAUUACGAUAAGUAUCCUUGCAUAUUAAGAUUUUCCUUCCAGAUCUUUGCGGUACUUUUGAUCUUUUCCGACAUGAUAUGCGAUUAUGGGAAGCAUAUGCCAUCACCUUACAGGUAUUCUCUUAAUUUUUAGAUAGUGCUCAAGAUGACAUUCAAGUUGGCUAUUAUUGGGUGCAAGAUUUACCAUGCUCUUAUUUUGCUUUUUUAGUCUAACCCGACAUUUGCUUAAUACCAUGAUCUGCUUCAAGCCUUGGAUGAAAAACUUUCAUUUUUUGUAUAUUCUGCAAUGAGAUGAGGGUAGUUUUUCUGAUGAUAUUUGGCAGUAAAUUGGGACUAACUAAAGUAAUUUUCUUAAUUGCAUGUCUACUUCUCAGAUGAAUGACCGUCUGUUCAGACUCCCAAGUGAUGAAUUAACAACCACCGAUCUAUUCUGGGUGAAGAUGAUGACGUUGACACCAAGCCAGUGGAAUGACUAGGACUUCCCUUUUGUUACAAUAAAUUGCGUUCAUUAGACACACGCAGUUAAUUAGUGUAGAUAAAGGAGGUCUAUGCACUAUAGACUGUUUUGUAUUUCGAGAGUCCUUUUUUUGUUUCUUUCAUUCUCCAUUCUUUUGAAAUUAUGUACAAUGGUUAUAGUCUGUAUUAUUACGGAUUUAUGAUGGGAGUAUCCUAAGUUUAUGGAAUAAUUAUAAAUAAGGACUUUAAAUUUUUGUUGAAAGAAGUUGAGUGAGAGAAAAGAAGCUAAAGCAGUAAGCAUUUGUUAUACUUCAUUCGAUUGUAUCUAAAUUACAAAGGUUGGUGGCCUUAUUUAUAGUGAAGUUCCCACAGGCCACUUGCACUCAAAACAUUCGAAAUAUGCAAACAUAUUGAUAUAUAAACAUACAGAAUUAAUAUUCUGGAUCCUUGUAAGUAAUGCAAAUAAAAGUGAGGUUGGGGCAGACAAUAUUUACAUCAUGUAUUAAUAGAAAUAAAAUCAAUUAUUUCCAAAUAAAGUCACUUAGUUCAAAGCACGGGCUUCGGUUAAGUUGAACAAGCAAGCCAAUUUUUGUUGUUACUUCAUGAUUGUCGUAAGCUGUGGGUAGUGGAUCGUGUUCCCUAUAAAAGACAAACAGAAGCAUGUCUACUAACUUGGUCAUUCCUCCAUGAACUAAACCCUUCUGAGGAUCUUGAAUAGAUUUAUAGAGAUCUCAGAUAAUUUCCUCACGGUGUGCCUGAGUAAAGACAAGUCUUAUGUACUUGAUUACUUCUGGCCAAUCCAUCGAGGCCACCACCUGUCUCAGUCAAUUCAAUCUUUUAAUAGAGUGAAUUACUAGAAUAAAAUUGAUUAAAGUUGAUAUAAAAUCUAAAUUAAAAAAAUCAGAUAAGAGAAUGAUCCAAAAUCCAAAAAAUGAAAUAUUUAAGGAGUGGACUUGUGACCCUCUAUAGAAUCCAUGGAAGAGUAACUAAGGGAAAAACAUUAGAGGUACUUUUGGCGAUACUAUUAGUAUUCUUGUGUUGAUCAUAAUCUUGGGGGUAGAUCUAGACUAAUUAGCUAUUCAUUGAACAUUCCAUUUCUCCACAAUUACAUGCAAAAGUGCACCUUGCAGUUGCAGCCUAGACCAUAGAAAUAUAGAUUUCCAAUUAUCAACACCUAAAGCUACUGUAGUGACUUGCAACCAUGAGAUGAUAUAUAAAUAUGCUGAGAUUCAAAUAUUUGAGAAGUUUAAACAUCCUGAUGAAAAAUAGACUAGUUCACAGCUACUUUGGGGAAAUUGAUUUCUAAUAGCAGUAGAAAAUACAAGUUUUUUUAAACAUCCCUACUCUAGUAAACUCAAUUAACCAAAACAAAACUCAAAGCAUGAAAAAGAGGGAUUUUAACUAACCUAAUCAUUAUCAUUGAUAUUUUAACAUAUUGAUCUUCACAUGGAGUUAACAAACACAAGACUUAGUGCCUAGUACAUAUGUCUGGGGUUGCACAGUCUGUUCGACAAAUUUAUUGAAACUAUAUCCAUGCUCCUUCUUCAAUUUUUUCUCCAAUAAAUAAAUAUCCUCUUGCUUCUUCCAUCCUACUCUAAUUCUUCCUGGAAAGCAUUCUCCCCUUCUCUAAUUCUUCCGAAAAAACAUAACCGACAAUCCUAAACUAAUUACCACCGUUAAAUCUUUCAAACAAAAUUUACAAUUUCUUAUCAGUAGUUUCCUGCCGCAUCCGAUCGAACGGCUCAUCAACGAAUCAAACAGACUUCUUUCCACCCUUUUUCCAUAUAAUUACAUUUGCCUAAUUCCUAAAGUUUCGGCUCCGCCCAAUGUCGGCCGCAAUUGGCUGCCGCAGCGAUAUGUUCAUCUUCAACUUCUCUGCUGCGAUUUCAAAUUUACUUCAGCCUCGUACCACCACACUUCCACUGGCAAUUAAUUUCAUUAUCCGAUUUUACUAUGUGUGGAAUAGAUUUGAGCAAUUUAUGAGUUUUCGCUACGAUUUCGACGAUGUCCUCUCAACACUAAUUUGAUCACCUAAUUUUAACUGUUUUGGGUUAUUUAUUUUUUAUUAUAUUUAUAUACAGUCUCUGCAGGCAACCGACUACUUUACUUAUAUGUGGAACUCAUCUGAGCCAUUAGAUGGAGGCCCUCCAGAUCCUACGGCGAUUAUAUAUGAGGACAAAAAGUGUUGUAUGUUGGAACUGUUGCAACGUAGGAGGAUCCUUUAUUAAAAUGUUAAUUUAGUUUUUUAACUCAAGUUGAGACCGUAAAAAGUUGUUAUAUAAUAGUGUAUUGUAUAACCAAUUACAUAUGUAUUUGACUUGUGCAACACUUCUAUUAUUAUUAUAUAAUAAUAAUUAGUAGUAGUAUAAUUACUAUAUAAUAAUAAUUAUUAGUAGUAUAAUUAUUAUAUAAUAAUAAUUUUAAUAAAAAAUUAUUAUUAAAAUAUUGAUUUAGCCUUUCUUAGUUCCAUAUUUGUUGUUUUGCUAUAAUUUUCCACAAUGACGCAUUAUCAGACUUUCUUAGUUCCGUCAUCUUCUAUUACUCAACUUAACGUCUUAUCAUCUCUAGCUCGUCUUCCAUAGCAUGAAAGUGAAUAAAUUUAACUGAAUGGUUAAUUAAUCAAUUAAGUUUCAUGAGCUUUAAUCGAGUUAAAACCAAGUACAAACAUCGUUAACAAAUACUGAAAUUUAGUAAAUUAAAAAAAUAAAAAACUAAUUCAAGUAAUAUGUAGUUUUUACAUGUUGAUCAUCAGGAUACAACAUUAAAUUUUGUCAUUGACAAUAUUGCAUGCCUGUCAUCUAAAGCAUUACCUCACAAGGUUUUAUGAGAAACGAAAGACUAGUGCUUGCUUUGAACAAUUAAAGUUGCUGCUACCAACCUCCCCAAAGAUCAAGAAGACAGAACAGGAAGCUAAUGCCAUCAAUGUCUUGUUCAUUAUAGCUGUUGGGUAGUUAGGUGUAGUUUCCUCACUUGAAGCUGUCUAUACACAGGCUUUUCCCCUGCAAAUGGACAAAUAAAUGAACAGCCUUGAAGCUUUACUAUUCGCAACACAAAGGGAUUACUAAUUGGAGAAGACUUUACAGAGUUCCUCUCACACUUUCUCUCUCUCAAUUUCAUCUAGAAGUCCCUCCGAAAGCAUCACCCAAAACAGUUAGUCAUCCUUUAUACUCUGUUUUCUGGAAACAGAGUCCUAACUAACUUAACUGACUGUACAGAGCACGUCAACAUAGCAUAUUUAACCAUUUUAACGGUAAUUUGAACCGUCUUCAGAGUUAUCAUCAACAAGCUCAUUCAUAUUUGUCCAAUCUUACGGACGAUAUCAUAUGCUUAACUCGACACAAUCUGGAUUCAACCUCCUCCUAUCCAACAAGGGAUUUCGAUUUGAGUUAAUAAUAAUAAUAACGACAAUAAUAAUAAACUAAAAAACAGAAUUAAUUACUAUUGAAUGGUCGGAAAAAAAAAAAAUUGAAAACGUGUGAACUCCAAUAAUCACCCCACAAAUUCAGUGGCGAAUUUUGGAGAGGGCAAGGCCGGGCUUCUCAGAAAAAAAUUUAUUUAGUUACAAAAUUAUCUUUAUUGAAACCUAUAUAAAUUUUUUUAUAUUAAUUAGUUAUGUUACCUCUUCAAUUAUCAUCAAAUUCUUGUCUGUUCAUCAUUUGGUGAAUAAAUGUGUGUCUAAAUAAUUUCAAAUAACAUUUAGAACAAAUAUUUUGAGAGGUAAAGCUUAUUUUGUCUCGCAUUAUUAGGUGCAUCUAUAAUUUCUUAUUUACAAAAUUAUAUUGUACGAUAAAAAUUUAUUGAAUUAGGGAAAAAAAAAAAGUUCAGCUCACUCAAAAACAAAAAAUGGUAUUAACUUCGCCACCGCACAAAUCUAGAAUAAUAAUUAUUCCUUAUCAUGCUGGGGAUCCUUUAUACUUUCUAGCCGUAUUGACAGCACCAGGUAAAGCUUUGUAAAAUAAUAAGUUACUCAUUAGUGGUUUUUAAUCUUUUUAAUUCUUUUUACCGCACACCUGAUCAAGAAUUUUAUUUUGUUAACUAAUCAAUUGCAAAGCAUAAAUAAGUGUUGAACGGUACACAAGAUUGGAAAAAAAAAUCUUAAAAAACGCGCGGAUUCGGUAGCCACACCAGAAAUCUAUUACAAUAAUUUCUGGCCGUAUUGAAGUUUUUAAAAUAACAAGUUCCCCUUCUCGUUUUUUUUUUAAAUAUAUAAGCUUAUAACAAUUUUAGAAUAAUGACUCAUUUGUAGAAGAAUUUAUGAUUUCAUAUUAAUAUUAAUAUUGAAGUGGGGUGGGUCAAAUCUCAAUUGCUUGAAGAAUUUAUUUAUUAUUAUUAAUAUUAUUAAUAUUGAAGAGGGGUGGGUAACGGACCAGCGGUUCACUCAGUUCGUGGCGAAUUAAAUAUUACCAUCCAAGGUAGAAUUGUGGAAAAUUAAAGCAAAAUGACUAGUAUGGAAAGGAAGGCUGAAAGUAAGGCAUGACGAAAGGCUUUGAGAAGGCUGAAGACUACCAAAGAAGUCAACUGAAAGCUAGCUGGGGCCUGAGUGUAUAAAUUGUUAGAUGCGUUUGUUAUAAAUAACAUAGAGCCCUUUUGUUAUUUAUAGUUAUAGAGAAAGAGAGAAUGUGUGUUUUUUAAUAGUUAGAGAUAUAGCUAGAAUGGGUGGCUCAAAAUCCAAAAUGGUGACAAUGUUAGUUCUCAUAUUAAUAAUAUUAGGAGGGGGGGGGGGGGGGGACUCAGGGGAGGUCGAGUGAGGGAUGUUUGGAGCAUGAGAAAUUUGAUCUUUUGCGGCUUAAACAUUUCUUCAAUUCCCCUUAUACACUUCAAAACUGGGUAGGUGAACAAAGGGAAAGGGUUGAAUGCGGCAACUCCACAUGCCAAGUGGUACAACUACACCUUGGCCUUACUAGGAAUAUCGAUCUGGGAGAGUGGUAUCUGAAUGCUUCUCUAUUUACUUCCUUUCAAUAACUUGGUAACAAAAUAGCCGGCUGCAUGCGUUGAGAAUGAAGGUCCUUCAUUUAAUUUAAUUUACUUAAUUUCUCCCUCCUAAUUAAUGUCUAUAACCAUUAGGAGGAACAAAGGAUUUUAUUAACUCAAAUAUAUCUAAUGGAGCUCAUUCUUUGGUGUCUAAACAUUCACUCACCACUUAUUUCAUGUCUGAUUAUAUGUUGAAAAGAUAUUAAAGUAAUUUAACGCAAUUAAGGCUUAGUAUAUUUUUUAUUAGUAGAGUGUAGAACUUUUAAGAAAUAUAUUAUUAAAUUAUUAUAACUAACAUAUUAUUUUAAAGUUGUGUUAUGAAAAAAAUAAAAUAAAAGGACAAAUAUGUAUUUAUACGAAGCUUGUAAAUUUUUUUGUACUGAUAUUUGAAUAUUAUCAAUUAAAAAAAAUUAGGGUAAUGGUCAUGCUGCAUUAUUUUUGUAGCACACAAAAGGACAACACCGUUUAUGUUAUAAUACUAUCGCUCUGUUAUGAUAAUAUUUUCUUUUGUGGCCAAAUAUCAUUUUUUAAGUAAAAAAAAGUGGACAAAAUGCAAAUCAGUUUUUAAUCCUCAGUCUCUCCCAAAAUUUAAAUUCGUAGUUAACAAAACAAAAUUGUUGGAAAACCAUUAAGCUAGGUCCAUGGGUUGUUAAAACUAUAGCUGACAAAAAGUUACUAACAAAAACAGAAUGUCCAUUUUAUAACUUUCUUAAAAAACAUUCCUUAACUUUUUUAAAAAGUUACCAACAAAAAGUUAUUUCCAAUUUUUAUUUUGUUAUAAUUUUUAUAAUAAAAUUCGUAGUUAACUAAACUCUUCUUAUACCCUUUCUCAACUGCCAUACCCUAACCCUGUUCCCCAUUUCCCCACUAAACCACGCUCAAUUAAGGCCAUCAGAUUCUCCCGGGCCCACAUUAAUCCAACUGCUCACAGAGACCGACAGCCUCUCUAUCUCCAUUUCAAGCUCCCUCUUCAACUGGCUUCUGCUACCGUCCUACUCUUUCUCGGCUUCGGAGUCCGUAUUUUCUCGGCCGGUCCCACGAAGCUCCCUCUCACUCCAAUUGUCGCCCCACAAGACCAAUUGCUUAAUCAAGACACCGAACAAGAAGAGGAUGAGAAGUUGAAACAAGAAUUUGAGAAUUGGAAAUAAAAAACGUACGCAUUGACCGUGCCUUUGAGAGUCGUUUCUCUUCAGAACUCAGUGCCUCAAUCUUGGGUUAAGGAUUUUAUGCGAAGUCAAGGAAAGAGAUUGAAGUUUCAGAUGAAUUUGUGCGCUAGCAUUGAUGGGAUCUUUAACAAUUUAUCUGUGCCCUUUAACAAAGUUAAGGCUAAGUCAGCUUCGUAUAUGGCUGCUGAUUUGGUUAGUGUUGGUGAUUCAUGGCUCAGUUUUGCAAUUAAAAAGAGAUUGAUUGAGCCAAUAGCUGGAGCUGAAGAUCAAGAUUGGUUCAAAUGCUUAUGUCACAAAUGGAAGGUAACAUCUUUAUCUUUGACCCGAUCAUUUUUAUUGUCUUUUUAAUUGCAAUGAGAAGAAAUGCCACUGUAGCAUGCAGUGAUGGCACUUAAUAAGUGAGUUGCUAGGAUGUGAACUAGAAAAAUUAAAUAUUGUCUCCUUGGGUAUGCUAGCUCGUAAGUUAGGGUUAAUAUCAGAGCUUAAGGUACUAUAACCGUGAGAAGCUAUUGACUGCCAAUUAAAAUAUCCAUUAAAAUGUCUAGGGAGUUAUGAAGGUGGAGGUAACUACUAAUAAAAAAUAUCCAGUUAACCUCCUGCUCGAUGCAAUUAAUAAAUUUGGUCAAUGCCACUGAAACCUGCUAACUGACAUCACAAUGCGACAUGAGCACUUCAAAAUGGGACAGACGGUCAGUAGCACUAAAUUUUUCUUGCCUAAGAUUGAGCAAUUGGUCUAACUACUAAUCCCUAUUGUAGGUUGAUCAUUAUUUUUUCAAUUAUGUUCAGUUUGACCCAAAAAGUUGCAGAAUCUUGAGCUGAAUAUUGUCACUGAACACUGUCAAUGUCGUUUAGCAUGGCCAACUAACUUGAGUUUGGUAAAACAAACACACAGUGUGUCUCAUGUCUCACAAAUCAAAUUAUCAUCUGUAAUGAUGGAGAAUUUUUCCAAUGUAUGAAGUAUGCUUUGAUACGUGGGUUACCUUGGAGAAGAUAUCUUAAAAUAAAGAAUAUGGGGAGAAAACAGUUCAGUAGUUUAUUAUUCUGUAGUCAAGUUUUGUCUCGAAAAUGGUCAAAAUUUAAAUGAACAAGGACAGGGGAUCUUCAUUCUUUUUUCCCUUUUUUAUACCAAGAUAUCUCUCAACCUUUAUAUAAUCCCCACUGGAUAUCUGCUUCUAAUAAUUAAAAUAAAAAUUUCACCGCUCUAACAAUAAAAAGUAACAUCUUUAGUCAAAUAAUUUACAGUUCCUCAUCAUCUUAGUGUGAGACUAUCAGUACAUUCCAAAAACAUAAUAAAACUGGUUUGAUCCUGUUUAUUGAUGUUUAAAUGUUGUUCAUUGUGACAUGUAGAAAUGAUGAGGCGAAGUUUAUUUGGACAUCAAUUAGUAAGAUCUUGUUUGAAGUUGUUUUCUGAAAUGAACUGCCGAAUGGUAGUUUUUUGGGGGCAUUUGAUGGCUCUUUUUUUUUCCUCAUUUUCAACAUGUGCCUGCUUGGAACAGGAAGGAUUAGACUGCAGAGUUGUUAUAUAUUUUGAGAUGCUCUGGUCAUUGCACAAUUUGUUCACACUGGAAAUUAGAAUGAGAAAUUUGUUGAUGCUGUUUUGAGAGAUCUGCAUUCUAUGCACAAUAACAUGAUUAAUGAAAAUGCAUUGUAGGACUGGAAAGAUCUGUGGCAGCCUGAGCUCGCAGGAAGAAUUUCAAUGGUUAAUUCUCCCCGACAGGUUAUUGGUUCAGUUUUGAAGUAUAGGGGAGCAUCAUACAAUUCAAACGAUAUUGAUUCGCAAGUUGCUGGUGGGAAGAUUGCUGUUCAGCAGAAUCUAGCAUUACUGGCAAACCAGGUACUCUUACAGAAAUGAUAUCUGGUCAUUGCAUGUUAUUGCCUGACAACUGAUUUUGUUUGUACAAGUCUGCUUCUUCAUACAUAUGAAUGCAUAUGUUAGUGUUUUCUUCUCCUUUUCAUACAUAUAAAUGCAUAUGUUAGUGUUGUCUUUUCCUUUUCAUACAUAUUAAUACAUAUGUUGGUGUUCUCUCCUGAGAUGGAUGCAAUAAAGGCUUUUGCUCCUAAAUUUAGCUGAAGAAAUGGCAAGGGAUGUGAGAUUCUGUUUCAUUAAAUUAACAAAAACCCAAAACAAUGAAAAUCCAUAAUAAUGUGGUGUGGGUAAAUUGGCUCCAUUUGGUUCGUUUCCUUAAUGUGAACGCGCGAGCAAUAGAGACUAACAAAAUGAAGUGACAACAAGAAGUCAGUGUCCUUUGAUGGAUGCAUUUUUAGGCAGAAAUAGGUUUGUAAUUGACCAAAUUUGUCUGGCAUGCCAAUUUAAAAAAAAAUAAAUUAUGUGGUUAUUAGCUGUAAUGAAGGGGGAUAGUAGGUGCAAUCAGGUGGAUCCUGGAAAGUUCAACAAAGUUUUGGUAUGGCGUAGUGAAAUUGGUUUGUGCAACUCAGGAGUCUUUCAGGUGAACGAUGAUAGGUUUUGAUUUAUGAAUAUUAUAAAUCUACUGUGCAUAGUAGAAUCAUCUAUAAGUUCUAGUUAUUGAAAUUGUAUACUUUGCCCGGUUUGAGUUAAGGGCACAUGUAAUAUGAAAGAUAGUUGUCGCAUCUUUUAGGUUACCUAACAUUUGAUCAAUCCUAUUAUGGGGGCUUCAAGAUGUCUAACAAUAUGUAGAAUGCCCGUGCUCCUCCCCAUUGUUUAUCUUAUACAAUAAUUUGUUUUAGAUGCUAAUAUCUUUGUCGAUACCGGUAACAAUAUUACAAUAUCUGCGUUUAUUGGGUUUUACAUAGGUUCGACUGUUUGACAGUACACACUAUCUGAAGGCAUUUGCAAUUGGAGAUGUAUGGGUUGCUGUUGGGUGGAGUAGUGAUGUUCUUCCUGCUGUCAAACGUAUGUCUAAUGUUGCUGUUGUUGUUCCCAAGUCUGGUGCUAGCUGCCUGCCAUUCUACUUCGAUAUUCACAUUGUUAUCUCCUUCAUAUUAGCGAUCAGUAAACACGAUAAUGUGACUAAUAAGUUUGUAUUCUCUUUAUAGGCAAUCCCUGCUGCCUCAAGACUUGAAACAAAACAAAUUGGAGGGCGAGUCAGAGGUCCAUCUCCAUUAAUCCAUCAAUGGAUAGAAUUCUGCUUGCAAACAGCGAGAGCAUUGCCUUUCAAGCAAGAGGUUAUCCCGGGUGCAUCUCCCUCUGCCCUUGAAAGUACUCUGGUUAAGUUGCCUGAAGAACUUCUGAAGGGUAAACCAAGUCUGGAUACUAACUUAAUUGCUGGAGUACUCCCGGCUGAAAUUCUGGCCAGAUGUGAGUUUUUGGAGCCAUUAUCUGAAGCUACUUGGUCAUAUUAUGAGUGGCUGGUUGUUAAUCUGCAAAAAGCUGCUCCUGUCUUGAUGAAAAGGGUGCAACAUUACUUGUCAUCAUUAAUCCAAAGCUUUCUAGCAAGAGCUACAUUGAAAAGUUAAUGGCGCUGCAUGCCAAUCAUUAUAAUGCUGUCAGGGCAAUUGGGUCAGGGCAAUUAGGUCAGAGCAUA